RNAcentral lists this long non-coding RNA (45870 nucleotides) under Gossypium raimondii (Peruvian cotton). RNAcentral describes it as "long non-coding RNA (GRAI_LNC004409)". Lineage: Eukaryota; Viridiplantae; Streptophyta; Magnoliopsida; Malvales; Malvaceae. The record is from RNAcentral.
UUGGGUUAACGAAUAAUGAUAACACUCUAUCUUUGGUUUCUUUAUCUUCAAUAGCAUGACCAUCGCCAUUUUGGAACAUCAAUAAAUAUAUUCUUGCAAGGUUCAUAGCAACCUCAAUAAACGUGCGAGAGAAAGGAGAUUUAGCCAUUUGGUCUUCAUUCAUCUUCUUCCAUGUUGCAUCAAUUAAUUUCCUUAUGUGGUCACGAGCUUCUUCUUCUGAUGCUUCACUUUCGUUCAUAUAACAUUGAAUUGAUUUAGGAACAUCACCUCUUUGAAGCUCAUACUAAUCGAAAUUUUUUUAAAAAAAAAAGUCAAACAAGCAAAUCACUAUUAGACUAAUUAACGAAUGGAAAUUUUAAGUUGAUAACUAUAUAUAUUUAUUAAUAUAUAUUGCUUACCAAUGAUGUCCCUAAAUCAUCUACGAAUCGUACAAUUAUGGACGACCAAUAAAUUAUAUCGCAGUAAUAUUGCUGAAUGUGGUGCAAUCCCUCUUCUGUUAUAAGAUCAGUUGCCAAAUAGGAAUGACCAAGCAUUACAAAACCCGAUAUUGAAAUCCAAGCAUUAUCAAUGUACUCUCACAGAGUUGGCGUAUAUCCAAUGUAAUACCAUUUUACCUCCAACAAAUAUGAUUUACAAAGAUUCAUCCACUGAACAUUUAUGUUAAACCAUGAACAACACAAAUCAGACAGAGCUCAUAAGGAAAAGCAAAAAAGAAUCUUAGGAAUUGGUUUAAUACCAUUUUCUUGAGAAAGGGAAGGACAUCUAUCCCUUGUUCCUUACGGACAUCGAAAGCCAUUUCAUUUACGGAAUUGUAAAGCGCAUGGUAACAUAUUUUCAUAUAGUUUGGAAGCUUUUGUAUUUGAUUUAUAUCUCAUCUAAAAUUACACCAACACAUUAAAGAUUAUUAAACAUUUGUAAGAAAUAUCAAAAGCAGAUAAAAUCAUAUAGUAGUACAACUACAAACCUCUCAACAACAUCUGUAAAGAGUUCCAACUCAUCUAAGGUUCCAUAAACAUCAUAAACAUCAUCUAUAACUAUUAUUAGCGCAUUGACCUUUGUCUGAAUUCUUCUACCUUUUCUAUCGGAGUAUUUAUCAUUCCCACACUCUAUAAGAAGUUUUCCAUUAGCCUAUCUCUAGCAAAGCUCAAGGUCUUGCCAAGUCCAAGUUCUUUCCACCACCUAAAUAAUACAAGUGGAAAAAGAAAACAAAAUCAUACUUGCGUUGAAGCAUAUGCGAGUCAACUUUAAACUAGUAUGCAGUAGGAAUGCUUACGUUGAAGCAUAUCUAAGAUAAUCCUGGUGCAUAGAUUGCACUAUGUUGUAAUCCAAUAUAGCAAGCUCUAAAAUAAUGGGAUUUUUGUCCUUUUUUAUCUCAUACAUAUCUAUGAACCAUCUGGCUUCCAACCUUGGCAUCCUCCAAUGUAAAGGAAGCACCAAGGCACGUUCCACAAGCAUCUAAAGAUAUUGAUGAUCAUUGUUCUCCUUCAGACAUUGUUUGAGAAGUUUGGCUGCUAACUUUCUUGUAUUCUCCAGCAUUGUUUCACCUUCUAAUAAGUGGUAUGAAGCCUCAUACAAGUUGAUUAGUCCCUUGCAAUCUUGAUUUUGGCUUGCUUUAAUGUCUUCAACUUCAUCCAUGAAACAACCGAAAACAUCUAGUGUAUGAAAAUAAUUCAAUGUUAUGUGUUUUCAAAUUUGAUGUAAAUUAAAAUGUCCAAUUUUGAAUUGUUUCUUGUGUUGUACCUUGAUUCACUUUAUACCCGUGUUACCUUAGCAAUCUAAAUUCAAGAGCUAUAGCAUAUAAAUUGUCUUUGUUCGAUGCAACAGUACUGCUAUUUUUAAUCUACUCCGCUGCAACUUCAGGGAGAUAAGGCUUGAUAUGAUGACUUCAAUCCAUCCCACUGCAAUUUCAGGGGUAUGGGUAACUUCAUUGAUCUAUUCUCUGGGGAACAUGACCUGUAAAAUCCAUUUCAUGGACCUAUUUAUGCCUAGUGUUUAGGAUGUCAUGAUUAGAAUGAAUCAAAUGCUCCUAACUAGAUGUGUAUGUAUGAUAUUUGUAAAAUGUCAUGAGAAUGAUCCCGUUUUAAUGCUUAGGUUGUCAUUGCUCAAUGUUCAUCAAAGUUCUAUCACUGAUGCCUUCUUGUUUAGCCGGUAUCUUCAACAGAAAAACCAAAGAAAUGGUCGCACUUUAGACUAUUCUUUCUCAAAUGCUUCCAGCCCUUAAGUUGGUUAGUUCUAAAAAAUGGCCCUGUUUCAAGUCCUCACAUUAUUUAAAAACUUUCAGAGUAAUAUGCAGAACUCCUUUUGCUUGAAUAUUAUCAGUCCAUUAAUCGUUAUUUGAAUGAGAAAUGCCUGAAAAAGAUUAUCAAAAUGGACAAGAUGAAAUUUUGUUGAGAUCAAAGCUCGAAAUGAAUAGAUUAAUCGAGAUAGCAAAUUUUGCUAGAAUGAGAAUAAAUUAAUCAAGAUGGCACGUUUUUCCAAAAUACAAAAAUGAAUAUAAUAGAAAUAGGUGCCCCAGAUAUCGUAGCAUGAGCUUCUCUGCCCCAAGCUCAUUGAGGACCCUUUUGAACUUUAUACGUGUUUAGAAGUCCUAGAAGACUUUGAUGAUGUCCCAAGAUGUAGCACCUCUCAUUCUUGCUAAUUUGGAGAGGACAAGACUACUGCAUGCCCCACCUUCGAUCAAAACUUGAAUAGCCCAUUUCUGGGUUUUCAAUUCAAAACCUUUUUCGUCUCAAGGCGCCCUUUGCGGGUUUUCACCUUGGCCUCUCAUUUUUCUUUUUCUUUUUUCUUUUUUCUCUUUUUUUGAAACAUUUUUUGAUUGAAUUUGAACUCAUAGGAUUGGGUAAGUCCUUGUUAUCCCUUCCAGUCAAAAUCAACACUUUUCCAGAUAAGACCUUUCACAUAAGAUCCUUCCCAAUUUGGUAUCCACUUCCUUCUGAAGUCUUUUGUAAGGGGAGGAUCUUCUUCGAUACCAGGUCCUCCUAAGGGAAUUCUCUAGGGUGAACCUUCUUUGGUGAGCUCGCAUCAUUUAUUUUUUGGUGCAUUUGACUGUGACGGAUAACUUUGAAAGUUUCUCUUUAAUCAGGAUUGGAUCCAAAGACUCAAAGAGAAGGAAUCUCAGCUUCAAUGGGCAAAACCGCUAUAAGCCAAAGCGAAAGGUGUUGCCUCAGUAGAGUUUUUUUGGUUUUUUUAGUUUUUUCUCACCGCGUCGUUCAUCUUGGUGCGAUAUGGUGUUAAUCUUGAACAAACUGUAAACUUUUGAUAUCGUGCUGUUGUUCAAAUUCAAUGCAUUGUCUGAUAUGAUGCUUUUGGCAUUCCAUACUGACAGCUGACUAUCGACUUCGUGCCAUUUGCAUAUAAGGCAGCUUCCACCUACUUAGUGAAGUAAUCGACGACCACGAAGAUGAAUCAAUGACCACCAAAAACUUUUGGCGAGAUUGGCUUGAUGACAUCCAUACCCCACAUAGAGAAAGGUCAUGAUUUCUAUUGAUUCUUUGGAAGGUAGGAUCUUGUUUUCAUCUUGUUCUCUCAUUCUUAACAAACCAAGAGAUAAGCUACAGUCUCGGUCACCUUCAAAGUCCUAAUGUUCCUCUGGACACAUAUCUUGCUCAAAAGGAGGUUCUGAGUCAAUAGCAGUAUCGCUCAUAUCAUUGAUAUCUGGAGACCUGUUAUAGGAACGAAUGUACAUCUAAAGAAUAAAAGAACCCAAGAAUAUUCAUUUGUAUAGUAUGAUUAUGAAUGAAAUGGAAACAAUAAAAGAAUAUUUGGUCGAAGUGAGAAACGAAGAUGCAUUUUAUUAAAAUAAAGAUUUUGGACAUAAGCCUAUCUCACAAAAGGAUUCUUAUUGCUCCUAGGCUUAGAGCAAUAAGCAUGUUUUAGAUAUUACUCUGAAAUAGGUCUAAAAAGUUCAGGGAUCUUGUAAUACCCCGAAAAUUUUUACAGUAAGAUAUUAUCUUUGAUAUAGUAAGGAAAUAAAGUGACAAAAAGGAGAAUUUUGAGUUAUGACAACAUUGGGAAGUAUAUAAUGACAUAUUAAUUAAAGAAAAUAUUAAAUUGCAAAAGUGAGAAAAGUUUUGUUAUCAAAGAGUAAAUACUCAAAAUUUGAGGGGUUAAAGUGUAAAUAUGAAAAAGUUAAAGGACCAAUAGUGUAAACAUUUUAAGGGUGGAAUAAUCUAGAAACUAAGGAAAAUAGAUGAAUUGGGACCAAAUUGAAUAGAUGAAGAAUUAUGAGGGACUAAAUCGUAAUUUUACCAAAUUAAGUGAUGACUCAAUGGUGGAAUUUUAAAAUAUCUAAAGGGAAAAAUGGUCAAUUAGAAGAAAGAGAAAUCUAGAAAAUAAUGAUGAUGUUGGAGAUAUUUUAGAUCAAAUAAAUAAAUAAAUAUUAGUUUAUUAAUAUUUUAAUUUGAUUUUUAAAUUACAUUUUAUCAUUUUAUUAUUAUUUUAUUUAGUAUAUAUAUAUUUGUGGAAGAAAAGAUGAAGAAUCAUCUUCCUUUCCCAUGCAUUUCACGUUAGAAGAGAAGAGAAGAAAGAAAGUUUUGCUUUCUUUACAAUUUGGUCCUUCCACCAAAAAUUUACCAUUUUCACCUAGAAAUCAAAAGAAUUUUCAUAGCUACCAAGAGAGAAAAUUGUUAAGGAGAGAGAAAAUCAAGUUAAAGAUUGAAAUCAAUAUAGCAAGGUAAGAACAUCAAGAUUUCAAUAUAUUUUUAAGUUUAAUAUUGUUGAAAAAGUAUGAAAUUGAUGUUAAUGUAAGGUUUUAUUAUAUAAAGUUCUAUUUUCUUGAUAUGUUAGUGAAGGGAAACAAGAGGAAUUGAUAGAAAAUAUUGUAGAGAAAGGAAAUGAGGGUGUUAUAAAUUUGAUUAUCAACAUCUUGUACUAAAACAGUUUUGGACAGCAGUAGUAGGUUAACUUUGUAAAAUCACCAUAAAUCGUGGAAAUUGAAUUAGAGGAUGAAAAAAUAUUUAAUUAAAGCUUCUUGAGUCUAGUUUCUCAUAGAAGAAACUGUGUAAGUAAUGGAAUUGUAAAUCAUGAGAUAUAAUAAAUUUUGCUAGAUAAGGUCAGAAUGAAUUCGAGUUCCCCUGUUCUAACUUGGAAAAAUCAUUAAAAAUUGUAUAAAAAUAAUUAUGGGUUAUAAUUAUUUAAAAUCCUUAAUGAUUCUAUUUUAAAUAGAAAUAAACAGGGACAUCAUCCGAAUUCUAUACAAAGAGAUAAUUAAUUUUUAGUGAAGAGGGGUCGAAACUGUUGAACAAUGAAACAGGGAAAACUUUAAAGCAUAAACUGUACUUAUUGGCUAAACCAAAAAUUCUGAAAAUUUUAUGGUAAGAAGAUAUAUGAGUUUAGUUUCAGGGAAAAUUAACGGAUCUUAAUUUGGAACUCUGUAGCUCGAGAUAUAAAUAAAUUAGUGACUCUGACUCAGACCGACAACUUGAAUUUACAUACAGGAAAAUAGUGAUAGUAUGGAUAAUGUUGUUUAAAUGUGUUAUACACAUUAAGGAUAUGGAAUGGAGAGGAGGAAUAGGAAAAUUGUGAACUAUAUGAAUGAUUUGUGUAUAAUUGGUCAUAUGCUUGAUUAUAAUUGAUAAAUGAUGAAAUAGAAAUGAUGUUUAUAUUUGUGCAUUAUUGGUCAUGGUUUAAGCUCAUGUGUGAAAAUAAAGUUUCAUAGUAUGUGUGUAUGGUAUAUUCGAUAUAUGAUUUGGCAUGAAAUAAUGUCAUGAAUGGUUUAUGAAUUAACACAUGUUGGUAAGCAUGAUACAUGAAUAAAUGUUGUGCUCAUCCAUGUUUAUAAUGCUUAUGCUAUAUGUGUAUUUGGCUAACAUAUUUGGCGUACAUGCUUAGGCUUUGGCCAAGUAGUGGUUGGAUUAUGCCACGUUAAAUUUAUAAGUUAUGCAUUGAAAUGGUAAGUGCCUAAUUGGAAAUAUGCUUGUGAUCAUGAAAAGGGUGGUAAGGUUUAAAUUAUGUAAUCUCUAGUGAAAUGGUUUAUCAUGUGGUUAGUUCCAAAAAGAGUUAUGUUUAAAUACACUAGCUUGCGACUAUGGUUGAAUGAUAUGUUUAUAGCUUGUGUGAUGUGCAUAGGAAACGAGUGUAGAAAGAUAAUGAAAUAGUAAGUUCGUAUGGCUGAAAUUUAAUGAUUAAAUGUUAAUUUUAUGAAUUAUAUAAUGUAUGAUGAGAUAUAUUUGUUGAUGUUUUGAGAAUAAAAUAACAAUGAGAAAACCGAAUAAAUGAUCAAAUUGAGCGGAACGUCGGAUUUGAGUACUUCUUAAAUGACAAGUGAUAAGUGGUAGCUUUAGCUACACUUAUCUGAUCGGUGACAAGUGACAAGUGAUGAGUGGAAGCUUUAUCUACACUUAUCUAAUCAGUGACAAGUGAGAAGUGAUAGCUUUAACUACACUUAUCUGAUCAGUGACAAGUGACAAGUGAUGAGUAGUAGCUUUAGCUACACUUAUCUGAUCAGGGACAAGUGACAAGUGAUAAAUGUGAUCUGUGUAAGACCAUGUCAGGGCUAUGGCUUCGGAAAGUGCUAAGUGAUCAUACGCAAGACCAUAGUUAUACAAUGGCAAAGUGGAAGUGAAGUACUCAAUUUUCCAUAACCGUACCCUAAUUUGAUUAAGGAUGGUAAGUGACAAAAGAGCCCAAAAGAAUUAUAGUAAAUGGAUAAGUGGUAGUGAAUUUAUACCAGGAUGAUGAGUUGAGUUGAUGUUGUUAUUUAAGCUAAAGUGAUAUUUUCAUUGCAAAUUUGAGAAUUUCAUAAAUGUGUUAAUGAAUGGUAUAAUCAAUAAACAUUGAGAUAAAUGAUAAAUACGUAUUAGUAUUGAACUUAGUGAUCUGAAUUGUGAACAUGAGAAAUUUGUGAACUGAAUGAAAUGGAAAUAGAGCAUUGAAUUAUUAAGACUUGUGAAUUGCAUGAAUAUGUAUCGGGUCUCGUAGGUCCUAUUUAUUAUGAAUAUAAUAUUUUGAGGAUAUAUUAUGAAGAAUUAUAAAAUCAUGUUAAUAAUUUGAAAGUUCUAAUUUAGAUGAAGUUUUAUAACUCGGUUAAAUACGUUUACAAGAGUGUGUGUUCUGGUAAUGCCUCGUACCCUAUUCUGGUGUUGAAUACGGGUAAGGGCUGUUACAGAUCUCUUCAACUGUCCCAUUGUUCAAACCACUCUCAAGUGUGUAAGGGUAAACGUGAGAUAAUUCUCCUCCCCGGCUCCUUUGGAUAUGGCGUUCAAAUUUCCCAACAUUCCUCCCGGUCCUUUGACUUCUUCAAAGAAUUCCAACUCUUUAUUAUCCAUUAGUCUUUGUACUAAAGCUUUGAAUUUAACACACUCUUGGAUUUCAUGUCCUUCUUCAGUGUGGAACUCACAGUAGCUCCUCAUCCCUUUUGGUCUCUUCUCCUAAUUCUGAAUGAUUAAUAUCAUGUCUAUCAUUUGUUUCAAAACCCAUUUCAGUGGGGUUUUUACUUUUGCAACAUUGGUUUUGAUUCUCUUUCCUCCAUUCUCAAUUAUCGCAUUGACCCCUGGGUCUGAACGACUGGGUAACGGAUUUUCUACUACAUUAGGUCCUGAUGGAUCGUCAAACUUCACGAUGCCCAUCUUGAUGAAUCUUUCGAUUAACUUUUUAAAUGUAGUACAGUUUUCAAUGGAGUGUCCUGCUAUUCCCGCGUGAUAUUCCCAUUGGGCGUUUGCAUCAUGCCAUUUUGGGAACGGAGGUUGUACGGGUUCCAAGUAAAAUAGAGCUACCACAUGCGCAUCAAACAGAUUCUGAUACAGCUCUCUAUAUGUCAUUGGGAUAGGUGUAAACUGGAGUCUUUCUGUGCUUGGCCUCUAGUUGGAUUCUUGCCUUGAGGGGCCUUGGUAGCUAGCAGCUACCAUCCUUGGCUGGCCUACAGUGAUCGAUUUAGAAUACCCUUUAUUAUACAAGCUCAGUUGCUCACUUCAUUUUCUUUGUUCUUUGGGGUUAAUUUUUUAACGCUUUUUCCCGUAUCUAUCUUCUCACUUCUUAUGGCAUUUUCAAUCAUCUUUCCAGACAUUACCAUAUCUGAGAAGCUCAUGGUAGCGCUUCCCAACAUAUGGUUAAUGAAUGGGGCUUUCAGAGUGUUGAUGAAAAGCACCGUAGUUUCUUUCUCCAAAAGAGGUGGCUGGACUUGUGUUGCUACCUCUCUCCAUCUUUGGGCAUAUUGCCUAAAAUUCUCACUUUGCCUCUUUUCCAUAUUCUGCAGUGUGAUUCUGUCAGGUGCCAUAUCUGUCAUGUGGCCGUAUUGCUUCAUGAAAGCUUCUGCCAAGUCCUUCCAUGAGCUAACUUUAGCAUGACUCAACUGGUUAUACCACUUGGCUGCAGACCCGAUCAAACUGUCUUGGAAGCAGUGGAUUAACAGUUGAUGAUUGUUGACAUAUCCUGUCAUCCUUUGACAAAACAUAGUGAUAUGAGCUUCAGGACAGCUAGUCCCGUUGUACAUUUCGAAUUCUGGCAUCUAGAACUUAGGAGGGAGAACUAAGUCAAGGACCAAACUCAGGUCUUUAGCAUCGACCCUACAAUGAUAAUUAGCAUUCUCCAUUGCUUUAAACUUUUCCUCUAGCCACCUACACCGAUUCUCAAGUUGCUUCGGUAGAUCCACUCUUACUUUCUCCACUUCUGCCACGUCAUCAAGAUCAGGAACAACGGGGUUGAUUGGAUUAUCUCCUAGAUUAGAACCAGAGCCUGUUUGAAAGUUUAUUUGUACCGAGGCACCAGCCUAAUAUUGAGUCUAAUAGUGACAGGUACUCUUUAUGGGCACAUAUCUGGUUGUGCCUGGGUGCUCGUCGGGGUGAAACCUGGAGGAUAAAUAGGGUCCUUAUGAUCAACCCCAGAAUCAACUCCAGGACUUUUUCCUUUAUCAUUACCUCCAGCCAAUAACUACGCCAAUUGGCUCAUCAUAGUUCUUUUGGAUUCUUGCAUGUCUUGUUGGAUUUUAUCCAGUCGUUCUUGCAUCUGAUCUUGCAUCUCCUUUUGCAAUUGUUCCAAUCUUUCUAACAUUUGAUCCAUUGUUUUUGUUUUGCGACGAGUACCGUAGUGAUAUUUUGUUGGUGGAUUCUUGUUGGUUUCCAGAUUAACUGAAACAAUCUCAUUUAAUUAGGGUCGUUUCGUGAAACUUAAUGCAAAUGAUGCAAUAAAAUGUAAUGCAGAUGAAUGGAAUGAAUGCAAAAAGAGACGUUGAUUCCGAUUCAAUUCUAUUAGAACAACUUUACUAGAAAACAAAUCUCUUUAUAUAAAACAAAUAUUUACAUAUUCGGCCUUGCCCUAAAACUCAAAAUGAAGACAUCGACCCCUUUCCUCAUAUCCAAAUGCUAAGAUCGACCCUCGUAAUUCUCCAAAAAGGUGCCUCUUCGAUCUCCUUUUUGCAUGAUCCGAGCCGCGACCCAUUGUUCGCUCAUCCUCGUGAUGCUUGUUGGCUACUUUAAAAGAAAUAGAACGUUAGCGGCUCUCGAAUAAUCUUUAUCACCUUGAAUCCUCAGGCUACGAAGCAAAGCCGUGUACUCAUUCAUCAAACUAUCACAUUUAGCUCGUUACGUUUUCUCGUGCCAUAUUUAGAUGAACGCAUUGUCUUCCAUUUUAUCAAGAAACUCAUUUUCUUAUGACAAGCUUUCUAUUUAGAUACUGAACGUGAAUCAACACUUCUUUUAUGAUGAAAAUGCUAUGCGAUCACAGUCAAAGCAAAACAAAGCAAGUCAGUAUAACACAAAACUAAAAUUUAAAGCAUACAAGAAAUAAUAAUUAAAGCUACCAUUUAGGAAACCACUAGGGUUCGGUGUGGUACCUAGGGUAGGCUCCUAGGGCUUACUAUAUGUGGUUCGGUUCUAAAGUAAUGGUACCUGAACCGGCAGAUUCCUCGAUCUUCACCUAUUAUAAGCUCAUACGGACUGAGUUCAGUUCAGAGGAAUACAUUUCCCUAUGGCCAUGCAGAGAUGAAAAUCUCAUGAAAAUAUAGGUACGGAUGUAUCCCAAAAGCGAUUCACUAUCCCAUGCAGAGGUGAAAACCUCAUGAAGGCGUAGUUUCUCACACCCACUUAAAAGGGUAAAUCGAAUGAUUUAUGCAAAUGCAAUAUGCCAAAAGAUAUAUCAAGACUUGUACAGAUAAAGCAGACAUAACAAAAUGGUGCAAAAAAUGAAAUGCAACGAAAAGAUCGUAAAUUUAAACCAAAUUGUCAACUUUCGACAAAAAGAAAAGAAGUAAUCAACUCGUGGCUUGACUCUCUUAUUUUGGGUCCCCAGAGGAGUCGCCAAUCUGUUGACACCAUUUUUUUGUGAAAACAGGGUCGACUUGGAUUUUGAAAAUGAAAACGAAAAUGGGAGUCGCCACCAAUCCUUUUUUAUGAGGUGUGAUCGGGUCACCUCGAAAAGUGGUUGUUUUUAAUAAGCAAUUUGAUUUGAUUAAAACAACAAUUUUGGUCCACGAAAUUUAGAAAAACGGGUUCGAGAGUCGGUCACAUUCGAGGAAGGAUUAGCACCCUCGUAACGCCCAAAAUUGGUACUUAGUUGAUUAAUUAAUGUCUUAAUGUCAAGAAUUGAAAACUUUGAAGAUAUUCAAAAUACGAUCCUUUGUUAAAACGCUGAAAAUUUUCAUGGAAAGAGGGCAUAUUUCACGUUAAUCGAGAAAAAAAUUAUAUCCAGUAAGUUAGGACACAAUAUCUUUAAAUCCCCAAACGAGAAUAAACACCAAGAGUUUUAUUAUUGUUAAAAAAACAUUUGAUUAUCUCGAUUUUAGAAAAAUAAUCAUAUUCCGUAAGUUAGAACACAAUCUUUUCUUAAUUCCCGAGAUUAUUAAAAGUUUCGUUUUAAAACGUUCGUUUAUUCGAAUUUAUCGAGGAAAUCGAGACCCCGUAAGUUAAAGUAUGAUUUCUCGAAUCUCAAAAUACGAGCAAAGUUCAUUUUGACGAAACAAUUUUUAUACAUUAAGUGAAAUAUAAAACGGUUUCGCGAUGAAAUGUCAAAAAUUUGAGUGAUCGCGUUUGCGUUCAUAGCAGAAUAACAAGCAUGCUAAUAUAAGUAUCGAGUUAAGACCUAACAUUGCAUAAAUAAAUAUCGAAUAAAUGACAAUGAUGAUAUUGAUGAUAAUGAUAUUGGUAAUAAUAUACAAUUCCCAACUUAUACAAAAGGAUAUAAAUGCAUGAUAAGAUUAAAUAAAUGUAUACAUUUAUGUAUGUAUUAGGUACGUAAGCACGAAAAAUAUAAUACUAAUAGUAAUAAUAACGAUAAUAAUAAUAGUAAUAAUGAAUGUUAAUAUUAAUAAAUAAAAAACAUAAUAAUAAAGUUAAUAAUAAUAAUGAAUAAUCGAAAUUUGAAAGUGUGUAUAACAAAAUAUAAAUAUGUAAAUAAAUAAAUAAUGAAAUGACAAUAAUUAGUGUAAAAGAUAAAAUAAACAAAAAUAAAAAUAGGAAUAAUGAGAAUAAAAACAAAAAUAAGAUAAAUAAAUAAACAAACUAAUUAAAAAUAUGAGUAUGUAAAUAAAUGAAAAAUUUUAAAAAUUUAAUAGAGAACCAAUAAAUAAAUAAAUGAGUGAAUAUUAGGUAAAACAAAUUAAUAACAACAACAACAACAACAACAAUAAUAAUAAUAAUAAUAAUAAUAAUAAUAAUAAUAAUAAUAGUAAUAGUAAAAUAAAAUAUUAGUAUUUGUAAUAAUGGAAGUAAUAGUAACAGUAAUAAUAACAAUAAUAGUAGUAGUACUACUACUACUACUACUACUAAUAAUAAUAAUAAUAAUAAUAAAAGGACAAAAAUAAAAAAAAUAGGAUUUAGGGGAUAGAUUUUAAAAUGAAAUAGUAAAGGAUAAUAGAGGACUAAAGUAAAACGCGCACCAAGAAGGAAAGACCGAUUAGGAAAAUAUCCCCAACCUUAUGCGCAGCGUUUCAGCGCGAAUUAAAAUGAAAUAAAGAGAAAAAUAUCGGGCAAAAUUAAAAGAAAAGAAAUAAACGAAAAGGACUAAAUUGCAAUGCGCCGCAAAGGCGGAAGGACCGCGCGCAUAAAUAUACCAUUGGUUGAAAACAUGCAGAUCCUCCAGGCGAGUUGGGUUGAAAUUUAGGUAAGGGCAAAACGGCCUCGUUUUGGGGCUUCAAAAUCCUGCCCCAAACGACGUCGUUUUAGGGAUUUAUAAAUACAAAAAAACAAAGCAUUCAAACCCUACUUUAAAAAAAAAACAAAAGUCUUUCUUUUUUUCUCUGUUCUCUCGUUGGAAUAGACCCAGAAUCCGGCAGAGUGGGCCAUCGUGGCUCCGCCGCGGCGCUGCCAUAGACGAUGGCCGGACGCUGUCUCAGGUAAGUUUUCGCCUCAUUUUUCUUCCCUUUCUUAGAUAUUCUCUCUGUAUAUGUAGUUUUUAAGUCAAAAGGAAAUAAAUAAUAAUAAAAACCUUUGAAUAUAAAUAGUCCCAAAAUCGAAAAUAAAGAAAAUAAAAAGGACCUUUCGUAUUUUUGUUUUGUUUUUAAUCUGCUUUGCCUUUGUUGUUUUUGCCUGAAUCUUUGUUUUUUCUUUUGUAUUCAAAAAACAAAAAUCUCGGAGAGCUACAAUCGGUUCAAAAUAAUGGCUUUAUAGCCGAAAUUACAAUAUGUUUAUUUGGUUUUUUGCUUCUUGUUUUUUUUCUGUGCUGUCUGCUUCUGUUUGUUGGCUUCUUGCAAGUGGUGUUAGAGAAGCGUCAGGCGGUGGCGUGCAGGGAGGUGGCUUGCGGCAGCAGCAAGGCUUAGGGUUGGAGCAGCGGCUAGCUAGGGUUUCCCUUAGCUGAUAUUUUUUAGUUUUGUGGGUUGUUUGGGCUUUAGGUUUUUUAGUUUUUUUUUUGGGUUUUAAUUUGUAUUUGGGCUGAAGUCUGUUUUAGGUUGGUGAGAUAUUUGGGUUUUAUUUUGUCUGAUUUGAGUGUUUUGGGCCCAGGAAAAAUUUGGGCCUUACAGUUUAUAUGAGAUAUUAUUUUACGGUUUUAAUAAGUGACAUCGGAGUCUCGUCAUAUUAAACCAUUGAGAAAAAAAUUGAUUUUUUAUUAUUUUUGGAUUAAUUCGUUAUGAAUAAUUUAUGGAUUUGAUAUAUGAAUUAAAUGUUUUUAAUCAUACAUGUUAAAUAUUUUGAAUUUAUGUAAAGAAAAUUAAGGUUUUCAUUUUUUUUUCAAUUUUUAACUUUGGUCUUCGAUUAUUAAACCUCAAUUAUGAAUAUUUACAAUCGAAUUAUAAUUCAGGAUUCAACGUUUGAAUUAUAUUUGCAAUAGAACUCAAUGUAUGGUUGUAUUAUAUAAAAAUUGAGGAUGUUCUCGUACAAAUACUCCAGCAUAUAUAUUAAGUAUCAUAGAAUUGUUUGAAACCCAAAAUUGAUUGGAUCUAAUGUGCCGCUGAGUUAAGUUAGUAUUCUGCACUUAUUUGUCUAUGAUUUUAAAUUUUCAUUGAAUUCCGUUGUCUUUAACUUUUGAAUCUCAAAGCUUUCAUGUUUGAUUUAUGGUGAUUUUGUGGACUGAGAUGAAGCUUGUGUAACUGUAUUGAAGGCAUUAUUAUUUGUUUUCUUUUCAAAAGGUUAUAGUGUUUGUCUCUUUGAUUAACUUUUGUCUGCUCACGCGAAAGGCACGAGUUUCUAGUGACAUUUCCUUUUUUAAUAGAUUACAAGUAACAUUAAGUUUAUUAGAAAAUUUUAUAGGAACUUUUUUGGUGCUCGGUGAAAAUCUAUGUCAAUCAUAAUAGCUGUUUAAAGAUAUAAGUUUUGGCAUCUUAUGGUUCCAAAUAUUUAGUUAAAUUAUUAUGAUAUGAUUUAUUGUAUGAAUUGUGGGAUAUGCCAACUAUUAUGAUUUUGUUUUUUAGAUUUAUUAGCUUGAAUGGAUUUUUCAAGUAUUCAUGCAAAUCUCUGUUUAAUCAUUAAUACAAUUUUAGAUUUACAUGUUAUAUGCAGGGUAAGUUUCUCUAUUUGAUUUUGAAUACAUGUAUACGCGUGAAUUGCUUUGGUGUUUUUUUCUACGCCAAAAUUAUGAAUAUAUGUACUUGUUAAUUGUUAUGAAAUUUUUAAAUUUGAAUAUUGGAAUAUUUAUAUAUUUUAAAAUAACUUCAUCGAAGAAGUAAGUCGUCAAAGCGAUCUUUUUUGUGUAAAUUAUUUUGUUUUAAAAUAUAAAAGGUUGUGUGCAUGUAACUUAAGUUAUGUUAAUAUUGAUCGGCCCAAAUGAAGGUUAAUUAUAUUACAUGUGCAACUAUGGUAAUAAAAAUGUGACGAUUAUUCGGUUUUACAGGUGAGUAAUAAAUCAGCCCAAAGAAAGAUUUAUUUUUCGACAUAUUUUUUUUAUUGUUAGUGUUUGAUUACUACAUUAAGAUAUCACUUACAAGUUAAUAUUUUGUCCAAAUAUGAAAUAUUAAUGGAGUGUCCGAUAUCUUGAAAUGAUGUUUACCUUUAUUGAAAUUAUUUUAGUUUAAAUUUUAAAUAUUUUGAAAUAAAUAAAUUCAAAUUUUUGCUUUAGGGUUUAAUUGAUGAUGUCUAAUAUUUUAAAUAGAUUAGUUGAAACAAAAUAUCUCCAAAGUGACCUCUUUUGUGUAGAUUAAUUUAUUUAAAAUAUCAAGAUCAUUAUAUAUUUUAUUUCAUUUAUGUGUUUAUUAAUUGACCUAAAGGUAAGCUAAUAUUUAGCAUAAUUUCAAUAACAUCUAUGGUGAUAAAUGUGUGACAAUUAUAAGGUGCUUUAUAUGAGCAAUAAGUUAGUCCAAAGAUUGAUUCAUUUUUUGACGUAGUUUAUUGUCAAUAUUUGAUUGCUACAACAAGAGUGCCGUUUACUGUUAAUAUUACUAUUCAAAGACUUGAUAUUAAUGUUGUGUUUAGUAUCUUGAUAUGAGAUUAGCCACUAUUUUGAAUUUAUUGGUUACUUAUGAAUAUUCAUUUGAGCUUCUUUUUAUCUAUUUUGUUCUAUAUUCAGCUAAUUCAUCUUCUACUGCCACAAUAUUUGCUAAUAUAAAUUUUUAUACCCAUGCUUAAUGGGACUAAUUUCAAUGAAUGAGAAAGACAAUUACUUAUAGUGCUUGACUGUAUGGACAUAGACCUUAUACUAAGGGAAGAACAACUCGCACCUCUCAUUGCAAAAAAAAAACACCCUUAUGUUAAAAGGGUUUUUGAGAGGUGGGAUCGUUCAAAUUGCAUGAGUCUAAUGAUCAUGAAGCACAACAUUCCAAAAGCCUUUAGAGGCAUAGGAUCUAAAGAAAUUACUCAAGCCAAGGUUUCCUUAACGAAAUUAAGAAAUGUUUUUCCAAAAAUAAUAAGGUUGAGGUGACAUCACUUCUGACUUCUUUGAUGUGUAUGAAGUAUAAGGGUCAAUGAAAUGUAAGGGAGUACAUUAUGGAGAUGUUUCAUGUUGCUUCAAGACUUAAGGAACUUAAGAUUGAGCUUUCUGGUUAAUUGUUUAUUUUUAUGGUUUUGGUAUUGCUUCUUUGCACAGUUUAAACAAUUUAAAAUUAGUUACAACUGUCAAAAGAGGAAAUGGACUCCAAAUGAGCUCAUUUCUCAUUGUGUGCAAGAGGAAGAAAGGUUGAAACAUGAUAAGUCUGAAAGUGCUCAUUUGGUCAGUACCUUUAAAGAUAGCAACUUACAUUCUUAAUAGAAUAGCCACUAAAGUAGCUACAAAAACACCUUAUGAGCUUUGGAUAGGUCAAAAGCCUAGUCUAAAGCACUUUCACAUGUAGGGAUGUCCAGUUGAGGCAAAGCCUUAUAGGCCACAUGAAAAUAAAUUAGAUUCCAAAACAAUGAACAACUACUUUAUUGGUUAUUCUGAGAGAUCUAGAGGCUGAGUUUUGUGAUCCCACAAUUAGGAAUAUUUUUGAGACAAGAACUGCAAUAUUUUUUUAGGAUGUUGAGUUUGAAGGGAGAAAUAAGGUUAGAAACAUUGCUUUUGGGGAGGAAAUGGAUUCUAACUUAGUUCCUGCUAUCACUGUUGACGAUGAUCAAGUUCUCAUACCUACCAUUGAUCAAGAAAUGAAUCCAGAACUUUAACAAGACAAUGUUGAAGAGCUUUCUAUCCAAGAUAAGGUAAUUAUUUUACUCAACAACCUCAAGAAAAAAUGUCAUUAAGAAGAUCCACUAGAGAAAGGAUUAUAAUGGCUUUAGUAGAAAUAUUUUGACCUUAAACUGCAUUAGAUUAAUGUUAAGUUAAUGGUUUCUUGAUGGUAACAUUGAUCAUAUAUUUUAAUGGUUCCUCAAAUGGGUGUAAUCACGUUUAAGGAUAUUUGGUUUUAGUGGGAGUUUGUACUUUUAAAUGCUUUUACGUUAUAAACACAUUUUCAGUUAUUUUAGUUUAUGGAUAUUAAGUUUAUUUUGUAACGGCCCGUUUUCAGUGAAAUCGAAACAGUGGAUUUGAGACCACAAAUAUGAAGUCAAAAAAAUUAUUUUAAUAUUAUUGUAAUAUCUACAGCAUGAUAUUAUUAUAGUAUAAAAAUUUCUUUAAGAAAUUUUACCGUUUGUAUGCUCAAUUUGUGAAAAAAGACUAAAUCGCGUAAAGUGUGAAAGUUGUGUUCUAUAAGAUAAAGGUGUUAAAUAGCUAUAGAAAUUUAAAAUAGAGGUCCUUAUAUGGUAAUUAGACCAUUAAAGGUGAGAGUGGAUGUGCAUGGCUUGGCAAUUAUGAAAAUUUUAAAGUUAGGUAAGGGCAAUUUGGUAAAAAGGCAAUUAAGGAUAAAAUAAUCAAAAAUUUAAAGCUAUCAUCUUUCAUUCUCUUCUCCAACUGAUUUUUAUAGAAAAUAAUAACCAUGGAAGCUUGAAAAUUUUUCCUAAGAAAAUCCCUUGCAUGUAAGUGAUAUCUUGUCCCGUUUUUGUUGAUUUUUAUGUUUUCAGGAUCAUUAUAGCUUAACCUAGCUAACUAGGGGACUAAUUUGCGAAACUAUUGAAUAUUUUGAGACUUUCUAUUGAUGAAUAUGUUAGGGUUUUGAAUUUUAAUGGAAGAAAAUGAAUCUUUGUUUGGAAUUAAACAACUUUUGUUAAGUGAUUUUUAAUGAAAUUGUCAAUUAGGGGUUAAAUUGAGAAAUGUGUAAAUUAUGUGUUAAAUAAGUGAAAUUGUGAAAUGUAUGGGCUUUUAUAGACUUAAAAGAUAUUUGGCUAGGCUUGGGUGUGGUGAUAUUACAUGAAUUUCAUUUUUACGAGCCUAGGGACUAAAUUGUAAAGAAGUCAAAUGUUUAAGGGAAAAAUGGUAAUUUUUCCAUAACAAGAAAUUUGGAUUGAAUUGAUUAGAAAUAUGAUUAAAUGAAUUAAAUUUGAUUAUAUAGAUCAAGAAAAGAAACAUUCGGAACUAAAUCAGGGAAAAGAUAAAGUCAUGGACUAAACGAUCGUAUUCUCCGUUUGAGUUUGAGGUAAGUUCGUGUAAAUACAUUACCCUAAUUAUAUGUUUUGAUUGAAAUAUAUACGUGUAUGAUUAGUUUAGUUAGUAUUAUGCAUAAUUAUCGAGUACAUAAUCGACGAUGUACGAAGAAUACCAAGCCCCGCUUGAACCUUAGGAAUUCGUAGGAUACAAAUGACAUGUCAUUAGGGUUACUAUUUUGGUUGAGGUCCUGCAGGUGUUGCGGACUCCCCACAGCUCGUAUGAGUUUACAGAUUUGGAGCUCGUAGGAGCUUACAGAUAUUUAGCUCAUAAAUUCUUACCGUUUAUCGCUUGUAUGAGCUUACAUGUACAAGAACUGACAUAUUACAGUUUAGUACACCUCAUGUGUACUAUCUAACGAGAUUCUAAGUGGUUCAACUGGCAUAGCAUUAUUACGAGAUUAUAUAAGUUCGAUACGAACUAGUACAGAUAUUUACAUGGAGAUAGUUUUUAUAUAUAUGAUAUACGGAUAUACGGUAGAGAUGUUACAUGUACAUAGAAUUUUAAUAAUUUUUUAAUUCAUACAUGAUUCUCGAUUUUUUAUGUGUGUACAUGGCUAACUUGAUGAAUGGUUAUGUGAUAGGCUUUGGCCAAAUUGAAUUGAGUUAUGCUUUGAGUUAUUUACCUAAAUUUGUGGUUAUACGGUAAGUUUUAUUCUAUGUUUUACGAACUUACUAAGCUCAAUUGUUUACUCCAUUUAUUUUUCCGUGUUUUAUAGUACUUCGGAAGCUCGCUCAAUUUGGAAGUCAUCGGAGAUUGCGUCACACUAUCAAGCACUCAUUUUGGUAUUUUGGACUUUAUAUAUUUUGGUUAAAUGGCAUGUAUAGGUAUUUUGGGUAACGUGGGCUAUAUGUCUUGUUGUGUUUUGGCCAUUUGAAUUGGCUUGUAAGGUGGUCAUAUAUUUUGAUAUGUAUAUAUGUAUAAAUGCCCUUAUGAUAUGUGGUGUAUAGUUGUUAUAUGAAUGCCUUAUUUGUGAAAUUGAGUGUUGGCACUAAAUGGUUGGAAUUUAGAUAUGUAGGCAUGCUAAGUUUUAGGCACAAUGAGUCAUAUAUGUAAUUGACCAUUUAGGUUGACUUUAGAAGUAUACUUGAUAUGUUUAAAAUUGGUCAAAUGAAUGUGCUCAUGGAUAUCAUGUUGUUAGUGUGGAUAUUACAUGUUAUAAACUUGAUAUUGAUUAGUUUUGAGUGUCUAUUUAUUCCAUGGUUAUGUGAAAAUUGAUGUGUAUAGGUUGGUACAAAGGUGGGUGAAGAAUAUGGCUUGGAAAAUGGUCUAUUUUUGUCCACAAGGGUAGAGACACGGGCGUGUGUCUCAGCUAUGUGUGACACAUAGCCAGGUGACACAACCGUGUGUCCCCUGAUACUUCUCAGAAAUCAAGUCAGUAGCUUCACACGGCCUAGCACACGAGCGUGUGGCUUCGCUGUGUGGCUCAAGUCAGUAUACCACUAGUUUUCACAUGGCCUAGCACACAGCCCGGCACACAGGCGUGUGAAGCCAUUUUGAAGGGUACACAACCUGGCACACGAGCGUGUGGUUGGCCGUGUGACCCACGUCAAUGAGCUACAUGGAGUCGGACACGAGUUGAGACAUAGCCGUGUGUCCCCAUUUUGAAUACCCACAUGGCCUGAGACACGGGCGUGUCUCACAUGGCCUGGCCACACAGGCGUGUGUCCUCUACACUUUGAAAAUUUUCAAUAUUUUUCUAAAAAUUUCUUAAACACUCGAUUUAGUCUCGAACUAUUUUUAGUGUCUAUUUGGGGCCUCGAGGGCUCGUAUUAGGAAUCAUAUGAUUGUCUAUGAAAUGUUUUUCAAUUGAAUGAGAAAUGUACAUGAAAUGGUUGAUUGAUUGAACUGUCAUUCCGGUAAUACUCUAUAACCCUAUUCUGGCGUCGAAUAUGGGUUAGGGUGUUACAUUUAUUGGUAUCAAAGCUACGGUUUAGUCGAUUCUAGGACUAACGUAGUGUAUGUGAGUCUAGCUAUACAUGUCAUUUUAUAACAUGUGAUAGUGUGACAUCUCUUGAUAGUUUAAAAUCAUGUUUUUCAUAUAGUACUAGAUUCCAACCAAGCAGACUCCGAUGAUCUAGAAAGUAACGCGCCAAGCUUUGUUCGCGGAGCAUUAUCGUUUGGGUCUAAACCUAUGUCAGAGGGUCGUGGAGGAGAGACUAAGGAAACCCUCUUCCAGAUGAUGAACGAAUGGUUCACUGAGUUUGUCUGAACUAAUCCGGCUGCUUAGCAACCUCCACCCUCACCUUUCCCCAACCAGUUUCAGUAGCUCCUCAAGUUUUUGAACCUGUAUGUAUGAGUAAACCGCCUGUUGAUAAAAUCUAAAAAUAUGGGGCUGAAGAGUUUAGGGCCACUGUUGAUGACGAUCCAAAGAGAGUCGAGUUUUGGCUAGAGAAUACAGUCAGAGUUAUUGAUGAACUAUCUUGUAUGCCAAUGAAAUGUGUUAAAUGUGUCAUAUCUCUUUUGAAAGAUGUUGAAUACUAGUGGUGGAGCACUUUAAUUUCUGUAGUACCGAGGGAACGGGUUACAUGGGAAUUCUUUCAGACAGAAUUACGAAUAAAGUAUAUAAAUCAACAAUUUCUUGAUAAAAAAUGUAAAGAAUUUCUAGAGCUGAAACAAGGUCGUAUGACCAUAUCUAAAUAUGAAAGAGAGUUUUUUCAGAUUAAGCAAGUAUGCCCAAGGGUGCAUUCCAACUAAGGUGGUUAUGUGUAAAAGGUUUGAAAAUGGGUGAAAUGAGGAAAUUAAGCUUUUAGUUGGAAUACUUGAAUUGAAAGAAUUUGUUGUGUUAGUCAACAGAGCACACAAAGCCGAGGAGCUUAGUAAAGAAAAGAGAAAAGUUGAAUUUGAAACUAGAGAUUCGAGAAAGAGAUUUACAGGAAAGUCUCAUUAGUCAACAUUGAAGAAAUUUAAAGAACAUCACUACCAUCCUACUGUUUCUGCGGCGUAUUCAAAUAGAGAUAGAGAUGCGAGACACUCCAGUCCAAAACCCUAGGCUACAUCUGUAGCGAGUAUGGGUAGUGUUAGAAAUGUUAGACUCGAGUGCAAACACUGCAACAGGCCACAUUAUGACGAGUAUUGAGUUAAAAGCGGAGCAUGUUUCAGGUUUGGUUCAUUCGACCACUACCUUCGAGAAUUCCCUAAAAAGUCUGAGAAAGAAAAAACUCAAACCACGAGACCGAGCAAUACAAAUGCUAGAGGGAGACCACCCUGAAACACUGGAAAUGCGAGUGGUAGUAGAGGUGCAACGAGAGAUUCAGCAGUGAGAUCCGAGGCACAGGCGCCAGCUAGAGCUUACGCUAUUCACGCUCCCGAGGAUGCAUCGACACCAGAUAUUAUCACCGGUAGUUUUCCUCUUUAUAACACUGAUGUAACUGCUUUGAUUGAUCCCGGAUGAACUCAUUCUUAUGUAUGUACAAAUUUAGUGUCUAGUAAGAGUUUACCUAUUGAAUUCACUGAAUUUGUGGUUAAGGUAUCGAACCCUUCAGGUUAGUAUGUCCUAAUUGAUAAUGUUUGCAAGAAUUAUCCUUUGAUGACUCGGGGUUAUAGGUUUUUAGCCGAUUUGGUGCUUUUACCGUUUGAUGAAUUCGAUGUGAUCUUGGGUAUAGAUUGGUAGACCCAACAUGAUGCAGUUGUAAACUGUAGAUGAAAGCUUAUUGAAUUGAAAUGUCGGAACAGUGAGACUUUUCGUCUUGAAUCUGAUGAUUCGAGUGGGUUACUUAUUGUAAUAUCGGCUAUGUUAGCACAAAAGUAUGUAAGAAAGGGUAGCGAUGCUUACCUUGCAUAUUUACUGGAUACUAAAGUGUCUGAAUCAAAGAUUGAAUCAGUUCCAGUAGUUUGUGAAUAUCCAGAUGUAUUUCUGGAAGAAUUACCCAGUUUACCACCGAUGAGAGAGGUUGAGUUUCCUAUUGAGUUAGUAUCGGGAACAUCACCGAUAUUGAUAGCUCCGUACAGAAUAGCUCCGACAGAGUUGAAAGAGUUGAAGGCUCAGUUACAAGAGUUAAGGAUAGAUGUUUUGCACAGCUGAUUUUCUCGCCCUAGGGUGCACCAGUUUUAUUCGUUAAAAAGAAAAAUGGUUCAAUGAGAUUGUGUAUUGAUUAUUGUCAGCUCAACAAAGUAACGAUCAAGAAUAAGUACCCAUUGCCGCGAAUCGAUGAUUUAUUUGAUCAGUUGAAAGGUGCAACGGUAUUCUCAAAAAUUGAUUUAUGUUCAGGUUAAUAUCAAUUGCAGGUUAAAGAUUCGGAUGUACCGAAAACUAUGUUCCGGACUAGGUACGAACACUAUGAAUUUCUUGUUAUGCCAAUUAGGUUGACUAAUGCUCUUGUAGUGUUCAUGAAUUUUAUGAAUCGAAUCUUUAAACCAUAUUUAACCAGAUUUAUUAUUGUGUUCAUUGAUGAUAUCUUGAUAUACUCCUGAGAAGAAUCUGAGCAUGCCAACCAUUUGAGAAUUGUGUUGCAAGCUUUGAGAGAUAAACAACUAAUUGCUAAAUUCAGCAAAUGUGAGUUUUGGCUUCGAGAAGUUGGAUUCUUGGGACACAUUAUUUCGGCGAAAGGCAUCAAAGUUGAUCCGAGCAAGAUUUUAGUAGUUAUUGAUUGGAAACCACCCAGAAAAAUAUCCGAAGUCAGAAUUUUUCUAGGAUUAGCUGGCUAUUAUCGGUGAUUUGUAAAAGGGCUCUCGAUGAUAGCUACACCAUGACUUGGUUAUUAUAGAAAGAUGUAAAGUUUGAGUGGUCUGAGAAAUGCCAAUAGAGUUUUAAUCAGUUGAAAGUAAUGUUAAUCGAAGCGCCCGUUUUAGUUCUGCUUGAGUAGGGUAAAAAAUUUGUGAUUUUUAGUGAUGCGUCAUUAAACAGUUUGGGUUGUGCUUUAAUGCAAGAAGGCAAAGUGAUAGCUUAUGCUUCCACACAGUUAAAGUCGCAUGAAAAUAAUUAUCCGACACACGACUUGGAGUUGGCCGCAAUUGUGUUUGCAUUAAAGAUUUGGUGACACCAUUUGUUCGGUGAGAAAUGCCACAUAUUUACUGAUCACAAGAGUUUGAAGUAUCUGAUAUCACAAAAAGAUCUAAAUUUGAGACAGCGAAGGUGGCUCGAACUGUUGAAAGAUUAUGAACUAAUUAUUAAUUAUCAUCCGGGUAAAGCAAAUAUAGUUGCAGAUGCUUUCAGUAGAAAAUCCUUGUUUGCCUUAUAGGCGAUGAAUACGCGAUUGACUUUGUUUGAUGAUGGUUCGAUAUUAGCUGAAUUAAAAGCUAAACCAAUAUUUCUUCAGCAAAUCUGCGAAGCUCAGAACUGUGAUAAUGAAUUGCAAGCUAAAAGAGUACAGUGUGAGUUGGCUACUAAUUUAGAGUAUCAGAUAGGAUUUGAUGAUUUUUUGUUGUUUCGAGUAGAGUUUGUGUACCAAAAAAUACAUAACUUAUAUAGAAAAUUUUACAUGAAGCUCUACUGGGAGCUUGUCUGUUCAUCUAGGAGUACUAAGAUGUACGGUGAUUUGAGACAAAUUUACUGGUGGUCAGGUAUGAAACGUGACAUUUCAAAUUUUGUGUCGAGAUGCUUGAUUUGUCAGCAAGUUAAAGCCGAACAUCAAGUGCCUUCAAGACUAUUGUAGCCAGUGAUGAUACCAGAGUGGAAGUGGGAUAGAGUUACGAUAGAUUUCGUAUCGGGAUUACCCCUAUCUCCGAAAAAGAAAGAUGCUAUAUAGGUCAUUGUUGAUCGUUUGACGAAGUCUACACAUUUCAUUCUGGUACAUAUAGACUUCUCACUUGACAGAUUAGUCAAAUUGUAUAUUUUCGAGAUUGUGAGAUUGCACGGAGUACCAGUCUCCAUCAUCUCAGAUAGAGAUCCGUUAUUUACAUCACGAUUUUGGAAGAAGAUGUAAAAAGCUUUGGGUACACGGUUGCAUUUUAGCACUGCAUUUCAUCCUCAAACCGAUGGCAUUUUGGCUAAUGUGGCCUAUAUGUUUUGUUGUGUUUUGGCUAUUUGAAUUAGCUGGUAAUGUGGUCAUAUAUUUUGAUAGGUAUAUAUGUAUAAAUGGCCUUAUGAUAUGUGGUGUAUAGUUGCUAUAUGAAUGCCUUGCUUGUGAAAUUGAGUGUUGGCACUAACUGUGUAGGCAUGCUAAGUUUUAGGCACAACGUCUCACAUAUGUAAUUGACCAUUUAAGUAGACUUUAGAAGUAUAUUUGGUAUGUUUAAAAGUGUUCAAAUGAAUGUGCUCAUGGAUAUCAUGUUAUGUGUGCGGAUAGUAAAUGUUAUAAACUUGAUAUUUGUUAGUUUUAAGUGUCUAUUUAUGUCAUGGUUAUGUGCAAAUUGAUGUGUAUAGGUUGGUACCAAGGUGGGUGAGGAAUAUAUCUUGCAAAAUGGUCAAUUUUUGUCCACACGGGCAGAGACACAGGCAUGUGUCUCAGCCAUGUGUGAUACACGGCCAGGUGACACGGUCGUGUGUCCCCUGAUACUUUUUAGAAAUCAAGUCAGUAGCGUCACACGGCCUAGCUCACAAGCGUGUGGCUUCAUUGUGUGGCUCAAGUCAGUAUACCUCCAGUUUUCACACGGCCUAACACACGGCCCAGCACACGGGCGUGUGAGGCCAUUUUAAAGGGUACACGGCCUGGCACAUGGGCGUGUGGUUGGCCGUCUGACCCAAGUCAGUGAGUUACACGGGGUCCGACAUUGGCUGGGAUACAGCUGUGUGUACCCAUUUCGAAUGCCCACAUGGCCUGAGACACGGGCGUGUCUUUUGGCCGUGUGUCUGGCCACACGGGCAUGUGUCCCUUACACUUUGAAAAAUUUCAAUGUUUUUCUAAAAAUUUCUUGAGCACUAAGUUUAGUCCUGAACCACUUUUAAUGUCUAUUUAGGGCCUUGGGGGCUCGUGUUAGAGACCAUAUGAUUGUCUAUGAAUGGUUUUUGAAUUGAAUGAGAAAUGUACGUGAAAUGGUUGAUUGAUUGAACUGUAAGUCCGAUAAUACUCCAUAACCCUGUUUCGGUGUUGCAUACGGGUUAGGAGUGUUACAUAUUUUCUGCAGAAAUAAAGUUUAUUUGGUUUAUUCAUAUUUUGAUUUUGAUAAGGUUUGAUCUCACUAAGGUUUAAGGAGGACCAAUUGCAUGUGAAAGAUGGAAUUUCAAUCAAGGUACCCAAUAUGAUCGACUUGCCGUUUUUAUUUUAGUAUUAGUAUAUAUUUAUAGUUUAAGUUUUAAUUUUUAAGAAAUUAUAUAUUUUUUGUAUACUUAUAAAUAUACCUUAAUUAAAUAACUAUAAAUAUAUUUAUAUAUAAAUAUAAAUUUUAAAAUCUUUCAUCAAUUUCAAUAAUUAUUAAAUUUAAAUGUAAUUAUAAAAAAUUUAAAUACAUUAAAAGUUAAAUAAAAAUUUAAUUUAAAAUUUAAUUUAAAAUAUAAAAAUUUUGUAAGGCUCAGUAUGAACAAAUAUAAGUUGUUAUUAACUAAAACAAUUCAAAUACAUCGAAAUAGUUGAAACAUGUCAAAAUUUUAAUCAAAUUAAAACAUAUACUACUUUAAAAUCAUUUAAGAUUGAAAUGAUAUAUAUUAACCGAUACAACCCAUACCUAAGUACCACAAUUCCAACCUCCACUCCAACCCAUGUUUAUUUUAAUCUAAUAUUAAACAAUAAUCUCAAUUGUUCCAAAUGAUAUGGGAUCAAAACUUUCAUUCUCCUUCCUGGUAAGAAAAUUGCAUUAAAAAAGAAAAAGUAGAGCAAUAAGUUCCAGAUAAGUUAAUGAUGGGAUGAAUAGUAUCUCGUUGUCGGCAGAUUGCUAUUUCACUACUCUAUUGGUACAACGAUGCACUUAAUUUUUUUAGUUUACUCUCAUUAAUUGAGUAAUGAAGAGACUUGUUUAUACUUUUUUGCUAAUUUAGCGUUGAUUUUUUUUAAAUAUAUAAAAUUAAAAGAUAAAAAAGACUUAAAAAUUAUAAAAUUAAAAAAAUAAUAUGAGCGUAAAAAAUAUAUGAAAUCAUAUAAAUAAGUAAAAAAACACUUAAAUCAAGGAUAAAUCCAAAAUUAAACCUAACAAAAACGAAUCUAGAGACUAGAUUGAACAUAUUAAUAUAUCACAUUAGGAUUGAAUCAUGAACAUACUAAAUAUGUAAAUAAGGACUAAAAUGAAUCAAAUUGAAAAUCACAUGCAAAGAAACAAAAAUUUCAAAGGAAUUAAGUUCACAAUGACCCCUAAAACCAUUAAUGCACACUUAAAACUCGAAAGCUGGGUUUUUCUUGCUUUUUUUUUCUCUCUCCUUUUUCAUACGCCAUUCAGCCUCAUUUUUUUCACCUCUUCUAUCACCAUGAUUUAAAAUCCCUCAUAACCGGCUUUAUUAAAUAAAAAAAUAUAAUAGAUUAUAUUAAAAAUAUUUUAUAUUAUAUGAUAUUUGAAAUGUAAAAGAAUAAAUAUAUUAUAUAUUUUAUGUAUCCUGAAUUGAAAUAUUUAUAUACCUUAUACAGGAUAAAUUAAUAUAUAUUAGUUGCUAAUAUCUAAGAUAUUAAUAUUUUAAAUCAAGGAAAUCUAAUGUCAUGUCAUUUAAAUAGUUUGCCCACUUGUUAUUUGUUAUAAUAGAUUCACCAAGUGCUCUCUUUAUCAUCAACUUUUUAAACGUGAUUUAAUUUAGCUACAUAAUUACACUUCUUUUUAUUUUAAAUAUUAUAUAUCUUUAAUAAAAUAUAGAUAAAUCAAUCACAAUAUGUUUUGAUUUAAUAUACAUUUAAUCUUAAAAAAAUAAUAAAUUCCAAAUCAAGUUCAAAUAAUUGAUGUGUGAAAUGAAAAAGAAAUCAAUUUAAAAUGCUCAUAUCUAAAGCAAUAUCUAUAUGAUCCACCUAAUAAGUAAAAUUGUAGAUAUCACACCAAAAACGUGUUUUAAAUUGUAAGAAGUAAUGAGUUUCGUGUGAUGAUCUGAUAGUUAAGAGUGUUCAUUGUUUCAGGUGUGGUCUAAGCUCGAAUAAUGUUUAUAUUUAAACUUUGUCAUGUUAUUGCAAUUCAAAAAAAAAAUUGUAAGGAGUAAUUCUCUUUUAGUCCAUAACUUUUUGUUUUUUCUUGGAAGAAAUUCUUAUAAUAUAAAUAAUAAUGAAUCGUUUCAUUAUGAUUAAUUUAAAAAUUACUCCCUAUUUUUAUUAUUUCUUUGAAUUUUGAAGCAAGCUGCCCGGAGCUUUUGAAGUUGCAUCUUUGGACUUAAUCCAUUGUUGGUCCCUGUACUAUAAGUAAAUUAUCACUUUGAUCUUUUUAUUUUUUUUUUGGUCACUUUUUAUUCCAUCUAUUUUAUUCCGUCAUUUAAUUUAGCUCUUUGUUGAGAAGAUUUAAUAAUCUCAACACUUGCAAUUGCAGGUAGGACCUACAGUUCAAAUGCAUCUUGGGCAAUCCUUGGGCACUCGUUCCGUCAAAUAUUAUUUAUAUUUUGGUGAUUUUAAAACUUAAGGUUGUUAAAGGUUGCACUUAUAGUUAAUCAAUCAUCAAAUAUUAUUUAUAUUUUGGUCACAUGAGAAAUAUAUUUAUACUUUGAAAUAGUGAAUAUUGUCUCGGAUUGAAUCAGUUAUAGUUGGCAUGUCAUAUGAUUAGUGUACGAGAUUUUUCUUCGAUUUAUACUAAUGAGGUGUGAAGCGCAAUAUUUUUGAACGUAUCAAUGAUACACUUGGUGCUAGUUAUAUUGGUGUGAUGGUUGGAUGAUCUAUGUUUGUUUAUAUAAGUCUGAAUAUGCUAGUUAGUAGAUCAAACCUUAAUCCUUUUGAUACUAUAGUUUAAUGACAUUUGAUAGUGUUUACAUGUGUUAAAUUGGUGAUUUUGCAUUGGUGUAAUAUUUGGGUAUGUUUUAUGUACAAUUAGCUGAAGUUUGAAUGUUUGAAAAUGUGCAUUUUAAACCAUUUACCAUUAAGUCUCGAAAGAACGAGAGAAUGUCUUGAGACUGUUAGAAUAAAAAUUUACUAUAUUAUGUGUCGAAACCACUUUUUUUUUGAAAAUCGGGGAUUGAUUUUGAAAAUAAAAUGGGAGUCGCCACCGAUCUUUUGUUGAGGUGUGAUCGGAUCACUUUGAAAAUAAUUUUAGGUCUGCGAAGUUUGAGAAAACAAGUUCGGGAGCCGGUUACGCACGAGGAAGGGUUAGCACCCUCGUAACGCCCAAAAUUGGUACCAAAUUGGUUGUAUGUCUUAGGGUGGAAGUUUUUGAAAAGAUUUAAAAAAAAUACGAUCCUUUUAAAUUUUAAAUUUGGAUAAACCAAAUUGAAUAACAAGACGUACUUAUUUUGAAUAAACAAAUUGCUACACUCAGUAAGUUAGAGUGCAACAAUUCAAUCAUCAAAAUUAAGUACGUUUCCUUUUUUUUUUAAAGAAGGUUAUUUGAUUAUUUAAGUCAAUCGAGAAAUCAGAAUCCAGUGAGUUAGGGUUCAAUUUCUCGAAAUUCUUAAACCUCAAAUAUUGCCUUUUAUUUUUUAAAAUCGAGAUAACAAAAUGCCACAUCCAGUAAGUUAGGAUCCAACAUUUUGUAAUCUUAAGAGCUUUAUUUUAAUAAUGGUAUGGUUUUAAUAAAAUGGAAACUUGAUAAUAUAAAUCCAUUGAAGAGAAUUGAAGCCCAGUAAGUUAGGGCACAAUUUUCUCGAGAAUUAUUAAACACUAAGUCCUUUUUUGGAGUUUUGAAAUAGAACGAUUAUAAUGUUUUAAUGGAAUGCAAUUCUUACAAACAAUAUAAUUGAAUAACAAUAUACGAAGCGAAUGAUGAAUAGCAAGUUAAUUCUACAAUUUGGAGCAACCACAUAUAUAAUACAUCGACGUUAAUAAUUAAAUAAACUAGUAAACAAUCUUACAAAUAACAAAUGAGAAUAAUUAAUACAAAAAUAAUUUAAUCACAAGUAAACCAAUCAACAUAAUCGAAAUGAAUAACAAAUUUAAAGCGUAGAAUAAAAUUUUAGAAAUUACAAGUUACAAUUCAUUUUAUACACAUAUAUAUUAAAAUAAUUCCAUAUCAUGAAAAUCUAAAAAUGAUGCCAAUGAAUUUAGAACAUAUUAAUAAUAAUUUAAGAGGGUAAAGUAUUAUAUUUUAGAAAUCAUAUCAAUAAUAAUUUUGAAAAAUAUUAAGCCAAUAUUACAAUACUUUUAAAAACAAUGAAUUGGUAUAAAACUUGAUUUUUUUUAAACUUUUGAAAUCAAAAUUAAAUAUGCAAAACAUUUUUUUUUUUGAAAUUGAGAACAAUAAUCAACAAAUUUCAAAUCAAGACUUAAAUAAAAUUUGAAUGAUGAUAAAUUAGAACAAAAUUAAAAUGCAAUUGACUCAAAAUAUUGGUGUAUAAUGAAUAAAAAAUAAACAAAAAAGUAAUAAUUUAUUACAUUUUGAACUAUUAUAAUAAAUUUAAACACUAUUAAAAAUAAAUAUCACAAAUAAUAUUAAAUAUUACAAUAUACGAAAGUAGGAUUUAAUUAAUUAAAAAUAUUUUGGAAUUUAAAAAAAGAAAACUGAAUUUGUAUUAAAUCGAAAUCAGUUUCAACAUUGACGAACUAAACUAGCAAUUAAACGCAAGCAUUAAAAUAAUUACAAUCAACCACAUAAAACGAUACCGUUUCAAGUUGGACCUCAAUGAAAACAAGUUACAUGCACCAUACAAAUUACAAAAAAUUAAAGAAAUCAAAUCGUAAUCAUAGUAAACACACAGGGACCUAUUUAGCAAAUAGGCCAAUUAGUCCAGCAUGCGCGGAUCCUACCUCGGGUCGGGUCACCGCCUGGAUCUGGUCGUCAAACGACGCUGUUUUGAAGCUAUUAUGUUAGCAGCAAGCGGUGACGUUUUAGUCUCGUGUUUAAAAAACUGAAAAACCUAAACGUUUUCAUUUCAGAGAACCGAAAGAGAACUAAUGUUCUCUGCGCCGUUCUAAGCACUGAGGGGGCUCAAGUGAUCUCCGAUCCAGACCUGUUCCCCGAUGGCAACGGAGGAGGCCCGAAUCUCCUCACAAGGUACCUUUCUCCCUUUCUUACUGCUAUUUCUAUCUUUAAUGAAAAUUAGUAGAUGCCUAAACGAAAAAAGAAACGAAAUACAAAUGGAAAGAAGAAAAGAAAAUCGGAAAUCACCUUUUUCAUAUCUUUUGUAUUUUUUUGAAUGCGUAAUCUGUUUACUGUGUUUGAAUGGCUUUCUUAUAGCCCGAUUUUAUAGAAAAUAAAAUAAAAAAUAAAUACAAGGUUCCCCUAUUCUAUUGUUUUUCUAUUGGUUGCUGCCUCCAUGUGUUUUUGCAGGUAUUCAGCCAGCCUGGUGGUACGGAGGUGGCCGUACGGAUGCGUGCGUGGCUGGGAGGCAUGGUGGUGCACGCGUAAGAGGAGCCUGACCUGCCUGCGGCACAAAAUGUUCCAGAAACCCUAGGGUUUCUGGAUGUUUCAAGCAAAUGGGCUAGUUCGAGUUGGGCUAGGGUUUGGGUCUGGUGUUGGGUUACUCAGGUUUGGGUAUUAGGCCUGCUAUCGGGUUUGGAAAAUGUAUUUUGGGUUUGGAUAAUGGGUUAAUUAUUGUAACUGGACUGAUAUUAUUGGACUUUUAAUUUUUAUUUGGCUUUAUAUAUUUUUAAAUGUUUGUGGGCCGGGCAAAUUUGGGUUAUUACAGUUGCCCCUCUUUGCUCAUUGUCGUGUAACGGGAAUGAAGCAAAGACUUUGAUAAAGGCAAAUUUUCCUGGUCAUGCGGGAUUUGGUGUUCUUCUUCAAGUAGCCUCAUUCCAUCCUACUGCAUCUUCAGAGGUAUAGGAAUUGUUUCGAUCCACUCCGCCAAAACAUCGGGGAGAUAGGAUUCGCUGUCUUUGAGCUGCUCCACUACUGCUUAGGGAGAUAAGAUCUGAAAUUUUCAACCUACUCCACUACUGCUUAGGGAGAUAAGGCUGGUGACUUAAAUCUACUUAACUACAAUGUCAGAGAAGUAGGAUUCGCUGUUGUAGCUUCAAUUUAUUCCACUGCACCGCCUAGGAAGUAAGAUUUGAAAAUUCUUCGGUCUAUUCCCCUGUAAUCUCAGGGAGAUAAGACCUGAUGCGAUCUACUCUACUGUAAUUUUAGAGGGAUAAGAUUCUUUAUUUUAAUUCGCUCCACUGUAAUCUCAAGGAAAUAGGAUUACUGGCUUCAAUCUAGUCCGCUGUAAUCUCAGGGAGAUAAGAUUUCUGGCUUCAAUCUGCUCUACUGUAACCUCAGGAGAUAAGAUUUUUCGGUCUAUUCCACUGUAAUCUCAGGGAGAUAAGAUUCUUCAGUCUAUUCCAUUGUAAUCUCAGGGAGAUAAGACUUGAUGCGAUCUACUCUACUGUAAUUCUAGAGAGAUAAGAUCCUUUAUUUUAAUCCGCUCCACUGUAAUCUCAGGGAAAUAGGAUUACUGGCUUCAAUCUGCUCCACUGUAACCUCAGGGAGAUAAGAUUUGAAAUUCUUCGGUCUAUUCCACUGUAAUAUCAGGGAGAUAAGACCUAAUGCGAUCUACUCUACUGUGAUUUCAGAGAGAUAAGAUCCUUUAUUUUAAUCUGCUCCACUGUAAUCUCAGGGAAAUAGGAUUACUGGCUUCAAUCUGCUCCGCUGUAAUCUCAGGGAGGUAAAAUCCGCCAUCUUUGAUCUGCUCCACCGUCGAUGCAGGAAGGCAAGAUAUGCUAUAUUCAUUGAUCUAUUCUCUGGGGAACAUGCCUUGUAUAAUGAACCUAAAUAUGUCUAAUGAUUAGGAUGGCAUGAUCAAAAUGAAUCAAAUGCUCCUACCUAGACAUGUGUGAAUGGUGUUUGCAUAAAUGUAGAAUUUUAUUUUUCGAGAAUGAUCCCGCUUAGGUUGUCAUUACUUGAAAUUUAUUAAGGCUUUAACACCGACGUGCUCCAACGCCUUCUUGCUUGACCGGAUUUUCUAAAGAAACACUUAGUCAGAUUGCCCCCACUGUAAACCUCAAAGUUCUAUCCAUUAGGGCGCAAAAUUUUUACCAUCAUUCUCCCCUGUAAUCCAAGGGUAGAAAUAUGUGGCUUUUCCUCAAUCCUCUCCUAUCAUGAUUCAAGGAUCCCGGAUUUAAAUCUUCCUGGUCCCUUACAUCAUUCCCAGGGUGUCGUACCAAAAUCUUAUACUCAAAUGAAGGCUUUCUUCUUCGAGGAAACCUCUUCCUAUUGCCUAAUGAUCAUUGCUUGCUUGUUUAUUUAAGCUUUAUCAUCAACAUGAUCUUCUUGUCAUUUUGUUCAAUCACUGUUCUAUCAACAAAAUCUAAAAGGAUUGUCUUGAUUCGGACUUUUCCCUAUUAGAUUUCUGACCUUUAAACUUGGUUCGUUCUAAACAAAAGUCUUGUUUCAUGGUUACUGUAUUAUUUAGAAACUUUUUCUGAAUAAUAUGCAGAACUUCCACUGUGAAAGUUUUAUUAGUCCAUUAAUAUUUAUUCUAAUGCAACAUGCUUGCACAAAGAACAAAACAAUGGAUAGAAUAGACUUGAUUUGAGAGCAUAACUUGCAAUGAAUAAAUUAUCAAGAAUAUUGAGAAUAAAAGAGGAACUGACUUGUGUCUUGAAAAAGAAUGAAGUAUUCCAAGAAAGAAAAUAUGACUAGUAUAAAAAACUAGAUGCCCCAGAUAUCACAGCUUGAAUUUCUCUGUACAAACUUUCUGAAAACCUUUCUGAGUUUGACAUGUGUUUAUGGGAUCUACAGUACUCUGCAAAUGCUCCAAGAUGUCGCAUACCCUUUCCCAUUAAUUCAGGUAUAACAAGAUCGUUACAUGCCCCAAACUGAUCAAAAAAUGAACUGCUCUGAUCACCUCAUGCCCCAUUCUGAUCAAUAUUUGAGCCACCCCCUUGGGUUUUCAACUCAAAUCCCCUUUGGUCUCAAGGUGCCCUUUGCGGGUUUUCACCUUGGCCUCUCCAUUUUUUUUUUUAGGAAUCAAAGCGCCCUUUGUGGGUUUUCACUUUGGUCCCUUUCCUUCAAGUGAAGUAUUUCUUGACUGAGUCUGAGUUUACAGGAUUUGGCAAAUUUUUACCAUCUAUCUCAGUUAGAAUCAAAGCUCCACCAGAAAAGGCCUUCUUUACGACAUAAGGACCCUCCUAAUUUUGCAUCCAUUUUCCUCUAAAGUCUUUCUGUAUAGGAAGAAUUUUCUUCAACACUAGAUCUCCUUCGUGGAAUUCUCUGGGAUGAACCUUUUUGUUAUAGGCUCACAUCAUCCGUUUUUGGUACAUAUGACCAUACUGGAUGGCUUUUAACCUUUUCCCUUCUAUUAAGUUCAACUGGUCGUAUCGAGACUAAACCCAUUCUGCUUCAUCCAAUUUUAGUUCAGCUAAUACCCAAAGAGAAGGAAUCUCCACCUCAAUGGGUAAUACGACUUCCAUCCCAUAAACGAGAGCAAAGGGUGUUGCCCCAGUAGAGGUCCUAACAGAUGUUUGGUAAGCUAAGAGAGCAAAUGAUAGCUUCUCAUGCCAAUCCUUGUAGGUUUCAGUCAUUUUCCCUACAAUUCUCUUAAUAUUUUUAUUGGCCGCCUCCACUGCACCAUUCAUUUUUGGGCGAUAUGGCGACGAGUUAUGGUGAUUGAUCUUGAACUGACUGCAAACCUCCGCUAUUGUGCUAUUAUUCAAAUUCAACGCAUUGUCAGAUAUGAUUCUUUCAGGCAUUCCAUAUCGACAAAUGAUCUCCUUUUUUAAGAAUUUACUAACCGCUGAUUUCGUGACAUUUGCAUAUGAAGCAGCUUCCACCCAUUUGGUAAAGUAAUCAAUGACCACAAAGACGAAACGAUGCCCAUUUGAAGCCUUCGGCGAUAUUGGCCCAAUAACAUCCAUGCCCCACAUGGAGAAUGGCCACGGAGCAGUCAUGACGUGCAGAGAUGAGGGAGGUACACGUAUCUUAUCUCCAUAAAUUUGACAUUUAUGACUUUUCUUGGCAUAACUAAUGCAAUCCCCUUCCAUAGUAGACCAAUAGUAUCCAAAUCUCAUGAUCUGUCUGGCCAUUGUGAAACCAUUUGCACGAGUUUCGUAAAUGCCCUCAUGGACUUCUUCCAGGAUCUUUCUAGCCUUCACGGUAUCUAUACAUCUUAACAGCACUUGAUCUUUCCCUCUCUUGUACAACACUUCCCCAUCUAAGACAUAUUCAAUGGCUAUUCUUCUCAAUGUUCUCUUGUCGUUCUCUGUCGCUUGAUCAGGGUAUUUUCGAUUCUUCACAUAUUGUAGUAUGCUCUGAUGCCAAGGAUGAUCAUCUUUUCCCUCCUCUUCAAUAUUGUAGCAAUGAGCCGAAACCUCAUAUAUGCUCAUCUGAAUAGGCUUCAUGAUUUCCAACUUGUUCACCCUAAUCAUCGAGGCUAAAGUAGCCAAUGCGUCAACCAUCUGGUUUUCAUAUCGUGGGAGGUAACAGAAGGUGAUGUCAUCAAACUCAUCAAUCAAUUCAAGAACCAGAUCUUUAUAAUUGAUCAACUUAGGGUCCCUAGUUUCCCAUUCUCCAUUGAGUUGGUAUAUCACCAAUGCAGAAUCUCCAUACACUUUUAGCACUUUAAUUUUUCGUUCAAUGGUUGCACGAAUACCCAUAAUACAUGCUUCAUAUUCUGCCAUAUUAUUUGUGCAAUCGAAGUCCAACUUGCUAGUGACAGGGUAAUGAUCUCCACUUGGGGAUACCAAGAUUGCCCCGACUCCAUUACCUAUAGCAUUUGAAGCUCGAUCGAAAUUUAACUUCCAUAUGUGGUCUAUUUAAGGGUUUUCUUCAGUAUUUGCCACAUACAUUAAAUCCUCAUUUGGAAAAUCGAAGUUCAAAGACUCAUAGUCUUCCAAGGCUCUGCUAGCUAGAAAAUCAGCUAUUGCACUUCCUUUUAUAGCCUUCUGACUUAAAUAUACUAUGUUAAAUUCAGAGAGCAGGAUUUGCCAUCUAGCCAUUCUCCCAAUUAAAGCAGUUGAUUCCAUCAUGUACUUUAACGGAUCCAACUUUGAAAUUAGCCAAGUCGUAUGAUACAACAUGUAUUGCCUUAGUCUUUGAGUUGUCUAAAUUAAAGCACAACACAGUCUUUCAAUGAACGAGUACCUCAUUUCAGAAUCAGUGAAUUUCUUGCUAAGAAAGUAUAUUGCCCUUUCUUUCUUUCCCGUCUCGUCAUGUUGGCCCAAGACGCAUCCCAUGGAAUUGUCAAACACCGUUAGAUACAGUAUCAAUGACCUAUCUGGACUAGGCGGUGAUAGUACUGGAGCAUUGGCCAAGUAUUGCUUUAUCUUGUCGAAAGCUUUUUGACAUUACUCAUCCCAUUUUCUCGGAUUAUGUUUCUUCAGAAGACGAAAUACUGGAUCACAUUUCUCAGUCAAUUGUGAAAUGAACCGAGCAAUGUAGUUCAACCUUCCUAGGAAUCCUCGAACCUCUUUCUGAGUGCUUGGAGGAGGCAGAUCUCGUAUUGCUUUAACUUUAUCCGGGUCAAUCUCAAUCCCCUUCUUACUGACUAUGAAGCCCAACAACUUUAUUCGGGUUGAGCUUGAGCUGAAAUUUUCUCAAUCUUAAAAAUAAUUUCCUCAAGGCUCGAAGAUGUUCUUCUUCAGUUCUAGAUUUUGCAAUCAUAUCAUCAACAUAAAUCUCAAUUUCUUUAUGCAUCAUGUCAUGAAACAAUGUGAGCAUUGCCCUUUGAUACAUUGCUCCCGCAUUCUUCAAUCCAAAGGGCUUUACUUUGUAACAAAAUGUUCCCAAUAAUGUAAUGAAUGUGGUUUUCUCCAUAUCUUCAGGAUGCAUCUUUAUUUGAUUGUAUCCAGAAAAGCCAUCCAUGAAAGAAAAUAAUCAGUAGCCACAUGUGUUAUCUACUAAAGUAUCAAUGUGAGGCAACGAAAAAUUGUCUUUUGGACUAGCCUUGUUCAAGUCCCUAUAAUCCACGCACAUUCGUACGUUUCCAUCCUUUUUGGGAACAGGGACGAUGUUUGCUACCCAUUCUGAAUACUUGACCUCUUGUAAGAAACCAGCGUCGAGCUGCCUUUUGACUUCUUCUUUUAUUUUCAGCACAAUAUCGGGUCUCAUUUUUCUGAGCUUCUGCUGAACUAGUUUACAAUCUUCUUUUAUAGGUAAACGAUGUACCACAAUGCUAGGGUUUAGCCCUGGAAUAUCCUGGUAUGACCAUACGAAAACAUCUUUGAACUCUCGGAGUAACUCAACGAGGUCAUGUUUUGUCUUUGCGGUGAUAUCAGUUCCAAUUUUCACAUUUUUUCCUUCCUCUAGGCUCACAAUUUCUAAUGAUUCCUUAUGAGGUAGGAUUUGCUUAUCCUUUUGUUCCACCAUUCUCAACAAGUCCGGAGAUACACCACAGUCUUCGUCAUUUUCAAAGUCCUGAGAUCCCUCCAAACACAUGUCUUGCUCAAAAAGAGACUCCGCGUUUGAAACAACAUCACUCAUGUCAUUGAUAUCUGAGGACCUAUGGGGAUACAUCAAAGAAUAUACAAAAUAUAUAAAUUUAUGAAUAAUUAUUUGUACAAUAAGGUUAUAAAUAUAAUGAAAGAAUCAUUUAGAAGAAAUUCAAUCAAAUGGAAAAAUAUUUACUUGCCUAGAAAGAAUAAAAGAAUAAUUGCUCGAAAUGAAUACAAAGAUGUAUUUUAUUAGAAUAAUGAUAUUCAGACUUAAGCCUAUUUCACAAAUGAUUUCCUAUCAUUCUUAGGCUAGAAACAACAAGAAUGUUUUGAACAUUACUCUGAAUAACCUCUAAAGACUACAGGUAUUUCUUCCGUAGUCCAAUUGUUUAGCUCACUCCCCGGUUCGUAAGGGCAAACCUCUAACAAGGUCCUUCUUUCAAUUGUCUCUAUAGCAUUGAUGUGAACAUUUUCCAACAUUUCUUCAAUGCUUUCCUUUCUGGACACCCCUUGCUUAGGGUAAAUAAACCCACCCGACACAAAGGAUUUAGAUACGUGGGGGAAGGUCAAAGGCUCCCACUUGACUUCCUCUCCGCUCAAACAUGCCCUUCUUCUCUCUUGUCUUUUCUCCGCUUCUUUCUUCUUCUGCUUCAUGUCUAGCUUGUAUUCUAAGCCAAAACUAUCAAACUUUUCCUUCAGCAUCGGUGCUUCAAUCUUUCCUUGAAGAUAUUUUCCCAAUCCUUUCGCGGGUGAAGCUCCUCUUCCAAUCAUCAAUCGUAACCCCAUCUCUGUGGUCCUGGAUAUUUUCGGUACUGGAAUUCUACUUCCUCCAGUAAUAAACAUCGUGUUCACAAAUUCUAAUGACCGAAAAGAACAUUCCUAUGCCUCAUCAUUAAUUUCCAUAUAAGGUGCAUUACCAGUUACUGUUGCAAUGAUAUCUUCCUCCACAUUUAUUGUUAUCAACCGUCCCUCUGAUACUAACUUCACCUUCUGAUGUAGCGAUGAAGGUACUACCCCAGCUAAAUGUAUCCAUGGUCUCCCCAAUAAAUAGUUGUAGGAAGGCUUAAUAUCCAUUAUCAGGAAGUCCACCUCAUAAGUGGUUAGGCCAAUCAUUAACGGUACUUCAAUUCUCCCGAUAACCCUCAUUUCUAUUCCAUCAAAUGCCCUGACUAUGCUCUGGCAUGCUUUCAUGUGUGAACUGUCCACUGGUAACUGAUUGAGAGUAGAUAAAGGUAAUACGUUUAGUGCAGAUCCAUUAUCGACCAAGACCCCUGACAGUGUGUACCCCUUGCAUCGGGUAGUACUGUGCAAAGCCUUAGUAGAACCUCUACCGCCAGACGGUAUUUCGUCAUCAUUGAAGAAGAUAAAAUUGUCAGCACUUAUUGUUGACCAACCGAUCUAGCUUUCUUAUUGAGAUAUCAUCAGUCACAUAUGUUUCAUUUAGAACUUUCAUCAGUGCACUUCGAUGUACUUCUAAACUUAGGAGCAAAGCUAAUAUCGAAAUGUGGCCGGCUAUUUGUGCAAUUGCUCCACAACACUGUAUUUGCUGUGUUUCAAAAACUUCAAAAACUCCUUUACCUCCUCUUCUUUUAUUGGUUAAUUAACCAAUGACUCAAUUUCCACUACCUUCCAUUUCCUCUGUUCUUUCCUCCAAUUCUCUUCUUUUGCCGAUUCUGCUUGAGCGUCAUAUCGCUUCCCAUUGCGCGUAUAAUAACCCCUUUCCUGAUAUUCUUUUACCAUAUUGCCCUCAACUUCUUUUCCUGGGAUUGUCACAUUGUAUCCGUAAUUCCAGGGAACCAUUUUAUCAUCCUUAUAUGUGAAACUUUACGGUUUCAUGAUUACAAUUUUUGGUGUUACCUGAACCCUGGCCUCAUUACUCUUAGGGCGUGAGAUAAUGACCACAGGAUGAUUUAUUUUCAGAGUCCCUGUUCCUGACUCCGCCGCGCAUAUGCUCCUCCUUUCUUUCACAUCUUCAUAGAACCUCAUCUCUUUGUUAUCCAUCAUGCUUUGAACCAAAGCCCUGAAUCCUUCACAUUAUUGGAUUUCGUGCCCUGUUUUAUGGUGGAAUUCACAAUAAUUUCUCAUCUUAUACCCUUCCUCAAAAUCUAAAAUAACUAACCCUCUUUUUGCCAUCUCUUUCCAGACCCAUUUCAAUGGAGUUUUUACUUCAGCAAUGUCAGUCUUAACUCUUUCCCCCGUAGAACAUACUCACUCCCUUAUCAUCAUGAUUGGGCAACGGACUUUCUGUGCUGGGUGAAUCAUCAAAUUUGACAACACCCAAUUUGAUAAGUCUUUCUACUACCUUCUUGAAAGCGGUACAAUUUUCUAUUGAGUGCCCUGAAAUUCCCGUAUGAUAGUCACAUUGGGCGUUCGUGUCAUACCAUUUUGGAUACGGGGGUUGUAGAGGAUUCAAGUAACGAGGACCAACAACAUGUGCAUUAAAUAAAUUUUGAUACAGCUCUUUAUAUGUCAUUGGAAUGGGCGUGAACUGGGGCUUCUCAGUAUUUUGCCUCAUUCCUGAUUCUUGUUUCGAUGAGCCUUGUUGAUUAGCAACCAUCUUCCUUGGUUGAUUCACUGUAAUUGAUUUACUGUAUGCGUUCACAUUGUUUACUUUAGUUUCUCUUUUAUUUGGAGCUAACCUUCGAUUAUUCUCUCCACCGUCUAUUUUUUCGUUUUUAAUAGCAUGUUCAAUCAUUUCGCCAUUCAUGAUUAUAUCCGAGAAACUCUUUGAGGCAAUUCCUAACAUGUGCGUGAUAAACGACGCCUUCAAUGUGUUGAUGAAAAGCAUCGUCAUUUCUUUUUCCAAAAGUGGUGGUUGAACUUGAACAGCAAUCUCUCUCCACCUCUGUGCAUAUUGUCUGAAACUUUCGUUUGAUUUCUUUUCCAAGUUCGGCAAAGUGAUUCUAUCAGGCAUUAUUUCGGAUACAUGACUGUACUGUCUCAUCAAAGCCUGCGCCAAAUCCCUCCAAGUGCCAAUUUUUGUUCGGCUCAACUAGUUAUACCAUUUAGAUGCUGCCCCAAUGAGACUAUCCUAAAAACAAUGUAUUAAUAGCUGAUCAUUAUUAAUGUACCCAGUCAUUCUCCUACAAAACACUGUAAUAUGGGCUUCAGGGCAACUAGUCCCACUAUAUUUCUCAAAUUCUGGCAUCUUGAACUUAUAAUGGAGCACUAAAUCUGGGACCAGACUCAAAUCUUUUGCAUCUAUUCCACAAUAACUUUCAAUGUUUUCUAUUUCCUUAAACUUCUCUUCAAACCAUUUCCAUUUCUUCUCAAACUGUUUCGGCUAUUCUUCCUUUACUUUAUCUUUCUCAGCUAUUUCAUCAAAAUUUGGGAUAGCAAGAUUUACCGGGUUCUCACCAGGGUUAGAGCCUGAUCCCGCUUAGAAGUUCGUCGGUAUUGGAAUAUCGAUUUGAAACCGCUGAGGCUUUAUUGAAACCGAGGAUCUACGCGGAUGCACCUGAGUCUGAACCUGCACAUGCGAAGGCGUAAAGCUUGGAGGAUAGAUGGGUCCAUCCUUGUCUUCUUCUUCAUCAUUAAUCAUAGGACCUUUCCCUUUAUUUACUCCUUCAGUCAGUAAUUACGUCAACUCAGCCAUCAUGUCCUUUUGAGACUCUAGCAUCCUUUUUGUCAUGUCAUGUUGAAUUUUUUCAAAUUGCUCCUUCAUUUGCAUCUGUAACUAAUCCUGAAUUUCCUUUUGAAGUCGCUCCAACUUUUCUAAUCUUUGAUCCAUAAUUUUUGACUUUGCACGGGUACCGUAGCGGUGCUUGGUUGAUGAGUUUUUGUUGGUGUCCAGGUUAACUGAGGCAUAAUUUUAACCAAUUAAAACCCUUUUUAAUAAUCUUGAAUGCAUAUGAUGUCAUGUAAUGCAAAUGUAUGGAACGAAUGCAAAAAGGUGUCGAUUCUAAUCCAAUUUCUUUUAGAAAACUUUACUGAUAAACAAAAUUCUUUACAUAAAAUGGAUUACAAAUAUGAAUUUGCCUUAAUGCUCAAAGUUUUAACUUCCUUUAACAAUGAAGCUAACUCUUGACCCUGAUCUGAUUCCAGCUCAUACUUUGUGCUUAAAACGUCAACUUGAAUUGCCAUUGUUUGUAAAUGAUUUGCUACUUCACGAAUCUAUGACACGGUCUUGCCCAUAAUGUAAUCUCUGUUCUGAAUUUGAUUCUGCAAGUGAUAAAGUUGUUCCUUCCAAUGAUCUUCAUUUCCCUCCAAGAAUUCAAUCCGUUGUCCACAGCCUUGUAAUGUGUACUCCAAUUCUUCCAUCCUCUUUUUCAUUUCUUCAAUCUUGCACAAACUUGCCUUUAAUUCUACCACAGAAUUAUGACUUCUAUACAACGCAAACGACCUCUCGAGUUCUGCUAUUCUAUUUUUUAGUUCUGCUUGAUGGUUUUGAGUUUCUAACAUCUGUCGUGCUAGAGUCUCUUUCUGUACUUGUGUUUCUUGAAACUUUUUUUCCCACUGAUCGGCUUUGCUUCUUUCUUCCUAGAUCUCCUGUCGCCACUGCUCUGUAGUCUUUCCCAGCCCAGUAGUUCUCCUCGAUAGUCGUAACUUCUUGUAAUCCGUCUUUAGACUAUCUAGGUCCUCCUCUGCUUUAUUCUUCCCAUUUCCUAAUUUUUUAGCCUCUAAUUUUUGAACGUCAGCAUCUAACCUUAAAUGCAUCUUUUCCUCUUCCAACCGUUUUAUCUUCUUUUCAAGCUCUAAAUUCUAUUUUUUCGAAAUCUUGCUUUAUAAUUUCCAACUCCGAUGGGAUCACUUCUAAGUAAUCUUCCAUUGGUCGAACACCCUCUGAGUUUAACUCCAGAAUAUUAUCAUUAACUCUCUUGCUUCGCCACUCACUAUACUCAGGAAUCGUCAUUGAGCCCACAGAUAACCUUUUCAUCUUAUGAGCCUGAUUCCAUGCUUGAGAAAUUUCUUUUACUUCUUCUUGUAAUUAUCUCCUCGAUGCGAGAACUCACACUGAGCUAAACCAUGCGUUGCCGGCACAAACUGUCUUGAACCAUAUUGCCUCAGUAUAAGCAAAUGUGCAUAUCCAACAGCUCCCCAAAUUCCAUGCAACGGAACCCAAUGAAAGCUCUCGCAUCUGUACAGAAUUCUAUCAGGAAUCAGCUAAGGAGCUUUCCACUCAACAGCUUCCUCUUGAAGAUUUUGGAGAAUUGCAGUCCAAUUCUCUUACGAUAUGUCGUCCCUUCUUGGCGUAGCCACUAUCUCUUUUAAUGGAGGGUAAUGUUCGGAGAAAACCCGGUACGAAAUCCUGUUGACCUUCUAGAAAUGACUAUGAAACCAAGUUAGUAGCAACUGCGCACAACCUAUAAAUAUGCCCUCGCCAGCUCGCCUGCAUGCGUUCAAAGAUCUAAAUGUUUCAGCCAAAAUUGCAGGAACAGGCGUAACCCCUUUAUCCAGUCGGUCAAAAAGAUCAGCAACCGCCUCAUCAACAUGCCUCAGUGCUCUAGGGAAGAUCACCAACCAGUAAUUACUCAAAGCAAACACAUCUACUUUUUUUUUCAUAUCUGGAUGUGCUAGAAUCAAAUCUUGCAAAUUCCUUCAUGGGAUACAUUUACACUCACGCUUCUGCUUGAUCCUGGCCGUGAUUCAUUGCUCACUCAUUCCCGUAAUAUUCAAUAAUUUCUUCCAAAGUGCUGGGACAUAUGCGGCUCUGGAAUACGCUUUAUCGACCUGAAGCCUUGGGCAAUGCAGUAAAGCUGUAUAUUCCUCCACUGUAGGCACCAAAUCUACGUUCCCAAAAGUAAAACAGCUAUAUGCAGGAUUCCAAUAUUGAGUAAAGGCUCAAAAAAAAUGUUCAUCUACCUUGAUGUCAAAUAGGUACGGCAAGUCCCCAUAAUUAGAGUAGAACAACUGCUUGGUCUCAUCAUUCCACCGAUCCCAUAUUUCCCUUAACUCUUGAAGGUUAUUCUACGUCACACUAAUACGAGUGUAGUCCCACAGCUCUGACACAUAUCCCUUAGCUAAACUGUCUCCUUUCUCCGAUUGCCUUUUGUCUGACCAUAUACGAACAAUGGCAUUGUCUUCCACUUUAUCAAGAAAUUUGUUUGCCAUGAAAAUUUUCUAAUUUAGUAACUGAACUUGAAUCGACACUCUUUGAAAUAUGCAGUGACAUGCAAAAACAAAAUACAAGUCAGUACAACAAAAACAAAAUUCAAAGCAGGUAUAAGAAACACAAACACUUAUCUGGGCAAUCACUAGAGGUUGGAAUAAUUCUAACUAGGUCGAGCUCCUAAGUCCACUAUAUGGAGUUUGGUUUUAAAGUUAAGGUACCUGAACCAGCAGAUUCAUCUAUCUUCACCCAUUAUAGGCUCAUACAGACCGAGUUCGGUUCAGGGGAAUACAUUUCCCUAUGGCUGCACGGAGAUGAAAAUCUCACAAAGACAUAGGUACGGAUGUUUUCCGAAAGUGAUCCACUAUCCUGCACAGAGGCGAAAACCUCAUGAAGGAGUAGUUUCUCCCUCCCACUUAAAAGGGUAAGACUAAACAGUCUUUAUGCAAUAUGAUGCCAAUGUAUAAAAGCGCAAUGUACAAUGAUCAUACUAAUAAAUGCAAAGAGAAGAUCGUAAAAUUUUUUUAAAACACAAUUUUAAUUUUCGACAAUAAGACAAAACAAUCAAUUUUACGGCCUGACUCUCUGGUAUCCUCAGUGGAGUCGCCAAGCUGUCGAAACCAAUUGUUUUUUGAAAAUCGGGGAUUGAUUUUGAAAAUAAAAUGGGAGUCGCCACUGAUCUUUUGUUGAGGUGUGAUCGGAUCACUUUGAAAAUAAUUUUAGGUCUGCGAAUUUUGAGAAAGCAAGUUCAGGAGUCGGCUAUUCACGAGGAAGGGUUAGCACCCUAGUAAUGCCGAAAAUUGGUACCAAAUUGAUUGUUUUAUGUCUUAGGGUGGAAGUUUUUGAAAAGAUUUUUUUUUAAAAUACGAUCCUUUUAAAGUUUAAAUUUGGAUAAACCAAAUUGAAUAACAAGACGUACUUAUUUUGAAUAAACAAAUUGCCAUACUCAGUAAGUUAGAGUGCAACAAUUCAAUCAUCAAAAUUAAGUACGUUCCCUUUUUUUUAAACGAGUUUAAAGAAGGUUAUUUCAUUAUUUAAGUCAAUCGAGAAAUCAGAAUCCAGUGAGUUAGGGUUCAAUUUCUCGAAAUUCUUAAACCUCAAAUAUUGCCUUUUAUUUUUUAAAAUCGAGAUAACAAAAUGCCACAUCCAAUAAGUUAGGAUCCAACAUUUUGUAAUCUUAAGAGCUUUAUUUUAAUAACGGUAUGGUUUUAAUAAAAUGGAAACUUGAUAAUAUAAAUCCAUCGAAGAGAAUUGAAGCCCAGUAAGUUAGGGCACAAUUCUCUCUAGAAUUAUUAAGCACCAAGCCCUUUUUUGGAAUUUUGAAAUAAAAUGAUUAUAACGUUUUAAUGGAAUGCAAUUCUUACAAACAAUAUAAUUGAAUAGCAAUAUACGAAGCGAAUGAUGAAUAGCAAGUUAAUUCUACAAUUUGGAGCAACCACAUAUAUAAUACAUCGACGUUAAUAAUCAAAUAACCUAGUAAACAAUCUUACAAAUAACAAAAUGAGAAUAAUUAAUACAAAAAUAAUUUAAUCACAAGUAAACCAAUCAACAUAAUUGAAAUGAAUAACAAUUUUAAAGCGUAGAAUAAAAUUUUAGAAAUUACAAGUUACAAUUCAUUUUAUACACAUAUAUAUUAAAAUAAUUCCAUAUCAUGAAAAUCUAAAAAUGAUGCCAAUGAAUUUAGAACAUAUUAAUAAUAAUUUAAGAGGGUAAAGUAUUAUAUUUUAGAAAUCAUAUCAAUAAUAAUUUUGAAAAAUAUUAAGCCAAUAUUACAAUACUUUUAAAAACAAUGAAUUGGUAUAAAACUUGAUUUUUUAAAACUUUUGAAAUCAAAAUUAAAUAUGCAAAACAUUUUUUUUUGAAAUUGAGAACAAUAAUCAACAAAUUUCAAAUCGACACUUAAAUAAAAUUUGAAUGAUGAUAAAUUAGAACAAAAUUAAAAUGCAAUUGACUCAAAAUAUUGGUGUAUAAUGAAUAAAAAAAUAAACAAAAAAAGUAAUAAUUUAUUACAUUUUGAACUAUUAUAAUAAAUUUAAACACUAUUAAAAAUAAAUAUUACAAAUAAUAUUAAAUAUUACACUAUACGAAAGUAGGAUUUAAUUAAUUAAAAAUAUUGUGGAAUUUAAAAGGAAAACUGAAUUUGUAUUAAAUCGAAUCGGUUUCAACAUUGAAGGACUAAACUAGCAAUUAAACGCAAGCAUUAAAAUAAUUACAAUCAACCACAUAAAACGGUACCGUUUCAAGUUGGACCUGAAUGAAAACAAGUUAAAUGCACCGUACAAAUUACAAACAAUUAAAGAAAUCAAAUCGUAAUCAUAGUAAACACACAGGGACCUAUUUAACAAAUAGACCAAUUAGUCCAGCCUGCGCGGAUUCUACGCAGGGUCGGGUCACCGCCUGGAUCUGGUCAUCAAACGAUACCGUUUUGAAGCUAUUAUGUUAGCAGCAAACGGCGACGUUUUAGUCCCGUGUUUUAAAAACUAAAAACCCUAAACGUUUCCAUUUCAGAAAACCGAAAGAGAACUAAUGUUCUCUGCGCCGUUUUGCGCACUGAGGGGGCUCAAGUGAUCUCCGAUCCAGACCUGUUCCCCAAUGGCAACGGAGGAGGCCCGAAUCUCGGCACAAGGUACCUUUCUCCCCUUCUUACUACUAUUUCUAUCUUUAAUGAAAAUCAGUAGAUGCCUAAACGAAAAAAGAAACGAAAUACGAAUGGAAAGAAGAAAAGAAAAUCAAAAAUCACCUUUUUGAUAUCUUUUGUAUUUUUUUGAAUGCGUAAUCUAUUUACAGUGUUUGAAUGGCUUUCUUAUAACCCGAUUUUGCAGAAAAUAAAAUAAAAAAUAAAUACAAGGUUCCCCUAUUCUGUUUUUUUUCUAUUGGCUGCUACCUCCGUGUGUUUUUGCAGGUAUUCGGCCAGCCUGGUGGUACGGAGGUGGCCGUACGGAUGCGUGCGUGGCUGGGAAGCGUGGUGGUGCACGCGCGAGAGGAGCCUGACCUGCCUGCGGCGCAAAAUGUUCCAGAAACCCUAGGGUUUCUGGAUGUUUCAAGCAAAUGGGCCACUUCGAGUUGGGCUAGGGUUUGGGUCUGGUGUUGGGUUACUCAGGUUUGGGUAUUAGGCCUGCUAUCGGGUUUGGAAAAUGUAUUUUGGGUUUGGAUAAUCGGUUAAUUAUUGUAGCUGGACUGAUAUUAUUGGACUUUUAAUUUUUAUUUGGCUUUAUAUAUAUUUUAAAUAUUUGUGGGCCGGGAAAAUUUGGGUUAUUACAUUAUACAUUCAUUUGCUUAAUGUCGUGAGACAAACUCAUCUAGGUCUCGAGACUAGUGGUCUAUGUCUCGAGAUAAGGGCACGUAGAAACUAAAUAACUUUUGCUCCGCUUUAGGUAUCGAGAAAUGAAAACAUCGAAGCUAAGAUAGGAAAAUAGGGGAGGUCUGUCUCGAGACCUAGUCUCGAGGCUUGAGGAAUUUUUCCUUGAGACAUGAAUUUCAUUGUCUCGAGACAUAUAAACAUCAAAGCAAAAUUUUAAAAACUUAUGAUGAGGCUUGUUUCAAGAUAUAGAGUUCCUGUCUCAAGAAAUAAUGUUAAAAUUUGACAAGUUGUUGAAUUUGAUUCCUAUGCUCAUAUUAAACCACAUUUAGACUCGAAUGAUUAAAUUGUGAUUGAAAUGUGUUAAUGUGGUUUAAUUUUAUGAAAUGACAUGUAUGUUUAGUAUGAGUUGCUCCAACUAACAAAUGUGACAUCUCAUACUGGGAUCCGAUUAUCGGGUUGGAUGUGGGGUGUUACAAGUUUGACCUUUUAUUUUAUUUUUAAUUUUUUAAGGGUGGGGGAAACAUGUAGCAUUCAUUUGAUAAAAAUGGAGUAACAGCUCAAAGGAGUGAAAAACAAAAUGGGAUAUAGAGGGGAGAAGCAGAAACCAUUUAAAGCAAAAGGAAACAUGUAGUAGGGUAGUCCUUACACUACCAUAAGUUUAUUGUACACCAUAUUAAAAUAUCAUAAAAUGAUUUGGCACACUAUACCAAAAACUAACAUUUUAUUCGCCCAGUUUGAAAAAUAAUUCCAAUGUUCUUAAUUAUUUAGGCAAAGCAAUUGGGUUAACGAAUAAUGAUAACACUCUAUCUUUGGUUUCUUUAUCUUCAAUAGCAUGACCAUCGCCAUUUUGGUACAUCAAUAAAGAUAUUCUUGCAAGGUUCAUAGCAACCUCAAUAAACGUACGAGAGAAAGGAGAUUUAGCCAUUUGGUCUUCAUUCAUCUUCUUCCAUGUUGCAUCAAUUAAUUUUCUUAUGUGGUCACGAGCUUCUUCUUCAGAUGCUCCACUUUCGUUCAUGUAACAUUGA